UUUAUGCACAAAUAAGUUCGGAAAUUACUAGUGAAUUUCCGGGCGUGACAAGUUGGUAUCAGAGCCAUCUCGACUGUAGGAUAAGCCAAAUGGUCAAACCUUAAGGACAAAUCUUCCGAAAACAUAAUUUGUGAAAAUUUCUCCUUUCUUCCUUAUCUAGAAUUCUUUGCAAAUUGUUUCAUUGUCUACUCUCCUCUCUCGUUCAACUUGAGUAGUUCUGAAACUAGUUGUUGAAACUAGAAGAUGUUGAUGAGGUCAACUUAUGGAGGCCAGUAAAGUGGAUCGAGGAAGAACCGAAGUGCAAGUGGUCAAGAUGGAAUGAAGUUUGGAUCCUAUCUUAGAACCUAUGCCGCCAAACUGUCCUCGAAGAAUAGUUAGUAGGGUAGAACGUUUGUUGUUUGCUUUGUGUGUAGGUAUAGUUGCAUUCCCAUCAUUGGAGUAGUUCAUUGAUGAGUGUGUAACUAUACUAGGUUGCUUGCUUAAUCAACUUGAACAAUAUAAUGGUCUACACACAUCAGAUCAGUGUUAACCUGGUUAAGGUCUUAUCUUUAGUGUAACCCCUCUCCUCCUAUCUUCUCUAAUCUGCAACAGAUGGUGAACACUCGCGCCAGUGGAAGUGGAAACAAUAACAAUGAAGAGAACCCAACCCUUGCUCAAGUGCUGGCUCAACAGACCCAAUUGAUCAACAUGUUAGUGCAACAAAUGCAGAACCAGCAAGGGAACAACAAUGUCAAUCCUCCGCCGCCGCAGAACAAGUUAGCUGAUUUUCUUCGUGUGAGGCCGCCUACCUUCUCUAGCACUACCAACCCAGUGGAAGCAGGUGAUUGGUUGCACGCUGUUGAGAAGAAGUUGGAAUUGCUCCAGUGCACGGAUCAGAAGAAAGUUGUUUUCGCUUCACAUCAGUUGCAAGGAUCUGCUUCAGAAUGGUGGGAUCACAUCCGGAUGAACAGAGCAGAAGGACAACCAAUCACUUGGGCGGAGUUCACUGAGGCAUUCAAGAAGACACACAUACCUGCAGGUGUUGUUGCUUUGAAGAAACGUGAGUUUAGGGCUUUGAAGCAAAAGGAUCAUACCGUGGCAGAGUAUCUUCAUGAGUUCAAUCGUCUAGCUCGCUAUGCUCCAGAAGAUGUGCGUACUGACGAGGAAAGGCAGGAGAAGUUCUUGGAAGGCUUAAAGGAUGAGCUGUCAGUUAUGUUGAUCUCUCAUGACUAUGAGGAUUUUCAGGAGUUGGUUGACAAAGCAAUUCGACUGGAAGACAAGAAGAACAGGAUGGACAAUCGUAAGAGAGGAAGGAUUGUUUUCCAGGAGGCACAGGAUAGUAGCCAGAGGCAGCGUAUCAAGCCACUCCAAAUUGGUGAAUCUUUUUCUACUGGUCAAGGACAGUCGCAACAGUUGAACAUCGGUGGUGAGAUCAAAUCAGAGACUAAUGAAAGCAAUGAAGUUAACAUCGAGCAAGCUAAUCAGCCGGUGCCAGUUCAGCAGGAUCAGUCUCAAGAGAAUAACAGUAGUGGAAGGGAGCAGCAGGUAUGUUUCAACUGUUACAAGCCAGGUCACUUUGCAAGAGAGUGUCCGAAGCCGAAGCAUCAGCAGCCGCAAGGUCAGAUCAACAACAUUGUUGUCACAGGAGCUAAUGCAGUGCCAGUUGCGUCUUCAAGAGUUGCGUCUUCAAGUGUUACAGCUCAGCCACCAGUUUCAAAGCAGCAGUAGUUUUCUUUAAAGCCUUAGAAUAAUUAUCUGAGUUAUGGAAUAAUAAGAUAGAAUGCAGUUUACCUAUGCCCUUUUCUUUCUAGCCGUUCCGAAUCUCGGGACGAGAUUCUUUGUAAGGGGGGUAGAUUUGUCACAUCCUGAUUUUUGUUUCAGGAUUUAUAAAUUAUUUAAUAAAUUAUUAUUAGAAUUUAUAUUAAAUGUUCAUUAAUUUACAAAUGAAGUUAAAUGUGGGAAAUAAAAUUUCCUAAAUAUAAAGCAUGGAUGGAUUUAAUUUUUAUUAAAUUCUCCAUGGUUAAUUAUACUCUCUGGAAUAUUCUCGGAUUUUUCGGAGCUCAAUUCCUAAUUUUAAUCAUACAAAGAGCAUUUCAGUAAUUACCCACAUAUUAAAUUAAUCAUUAAAUGGUCUGAUUAUAAUUUUUUUAAGUACUUUUAGUGUCCAAGUAUUUUCAGGAUUUUUCUUGAAAUUAUUUGAGCGUUGGAAGUAUUUUUAACAAUUCAAAGAUCAUUUUAGUGAUUAUUUUAAUUGAAAAAGUUUUAAAAGCCCUCCCUUAAGUCGUUGGGCCGAAUUCGGCCCAACACUCCCUCUCUCCCGCGCGGCCGAGCCGGCCCAAAACCGGCCCGAGUCGGCUCAAGCCGAGCCGCCCGCCCCCUCCUCUCUCAGGCGCCGACAUGUGGGGCCCACAUGUCGGUUGCUUCUCCUACCUCCGGCCGGCCGGCCAUGCCUAGCCCGAGCCGCCGCCUUGCCGCCUCAAAUCCGCACCCAAUCCGGCCCCGUUUCUUCCGGAUUUUUGAGGGGUUUUGAUCCUCUCGUUCUCCUCUAUCCUUUCCCCUAAGAAUCGGAGCAAACCGUUGAGUAUUUUAUCCGAAUCGAACUCGUUUUUGAGUUUAUCUCCAAAACCGAGUUUUUGAUUUCCCGGAUCGAUUUCUUGCGGGAGGAGUCCGAUCUCUUCAAUCCAAGGCUAUAAAUAGGACCCCCUAGUCCUCCUCUUUCGUUUGCCCCCUCUCCCGUCCUCUCCCGUGACCCGUAGAGCCGUCGCCGCGUGAAACCAUCCGCCGCCGCCGCCGGCCGGGUUGCAGCCGCGCCGAGCAGCCUUCUCCGCCGUCGCCGCCGCUUGCCGCCAUCACCUUUAGGUGCGCCAAGCCGUGGGGAAGCUCGGCCGCCCGUUCCCCUUCGCCGCCGGCCACCGGAGCCCCUCCGCCGCCGGUCAACCGAGCCGCCGCCGUCGCCCCUCUCGUUGCCGGUCGUCGUCCGACGUCGUUUGUCGUUGUGGUGAGUACCGUUGGGUUCGUCUCGUCGUCCUCUACGUGUACAUGCCCUCCUUUUUCCCGGCCGACCACCCUAGCUCCUGCGAGGUCGCCAUCUGAGCCGGCCGCCACACAUCAUCAUCUUCUCCUUUUCCAGUUUUUUCUAAUAGAUGAAAUCUUCGGAAAAUCAUAACUAAAUAACCGUAGAUCCGUUUCAGGUGGUUCAAGUUGCUAAAUUUUUCUAAAAUCAAGAUCUACAUGUUAAAAAUAUCCACAUGUACUGUUUAUGCUUGUUUUUGUACUGUUUUGUUGAUUUUUAUUCUUUUGCUUUAGUUUCCGACGUUCUGAAGGAGAGCCUUUCCGUUGAGGAAGGUUCGGAAGUGUUUGCGGAAGCUCAAGGCAAGUCACACAGAUCCCAAACAACCCUUUGAGCAUGUUGAACCCAUUUAAAGCUAUUAUUUUAUUUCAACUAUGCAUUGUUUUCGAAUGUCAUCGGGUGGUGAACCUUUCCCCGUUAAUUAAUGGCCGAAGAUGAUCUUAUUUUCCUAUGGGUUAUAAUUUGAUUAGCAUGAACCUUAUAUAUUGGAUUGGUUCAGCUAAAUGCUAUAUGUAUGUUUGCUUAGCUAUGCUUAGAAACAUUAGCUAACUAAAGGGGUUAAUUAUAAACUAUAUUAUAUUAUUCUUAUUAAUUAUGGUUAUAUUUAAUGGUAGCUCACGAUGGUUAAUCAUGUGAUGUUAAUUAAUUGAUAAUUAAAACCUGGUUAAGGUGGGUUGUGAGCAUAUGGUUUUGAAGGUCGUGCUCAUGGCAAUUAAGGACCGGUUCGCGAGCUACUGUUGUGAAACAUUUACCGUGCCAACCACAAGCCAGCAUGGGCAAUGGCUUUAUACUUUUGUAUAGCAUGGUUCACUAUAGCGGUGCCACGACUGUGAAAGUGGCGAGAAAUCCACGGGGGUCGCUGGGGAGUCCAUGCACUGUUUAUAAGGGGGUGAUUAUGAUCCGCGAAUGGUGCACUCUUUUGAGUUGUGUUGAGCAAAGGGUAUUGUCACGAAUUCCCCCCUGGCAAUACCGUGGUGGUAUUUUGGGGCAUGGCAACAUGUGUGGAAUCGUGUCUUGUGGGUACAGUGGUACACCUCUGGCCAGAGUAAAACUAUUCGAAUAGCCGUGCCCGCGGUUAUGGGCGGGUUGAGCAAUGUUUUUCGUGAUUAGUCUCACACCUCUCACAAUAAUUAUGGAUGUUAUAACUGGUAAUAAUUUGCUUAGCUCCUGGUUUGGAGUUAGAUCUGUACAGCCGAGUAUGGUUGUUCAGGAUGGUUGGGCCUGAGCAGCAUGGGUGUGCUGUUCAGUGUUGAUUAAAAUUUCUGAUUAAUUACUCCACUGUUUUACUUCUCUUAAAUGUUUUGCUAAAUGCUGCUUUUGCAAAUGAGCCUGUAUUAUGCCAUCCUUUGGUAUCCUUGUGCACUUGCAUAUUUGCUGUGUGCCUUGUUGAGUAUGUCAUAUGCUCAUUCUUGCAAUAAUCAUCAAACCUCAGUUGAAGAAAAAGGAUCCAGAAGGAGAAGACGUUUGGCUUAUACCCCAGUUGAGCUGCCUGUGGGAGUGGAGCUGAAGCCAUCGCUAGACCGUUAAUUCCGCUGCUGUUUUCUUUUCUUUUGUAAGUAUGUAACGUUAUUAUUAAGAUGGAUUUGUAUAUUAAAUUGUCAGUUUGUGUACCUCGGUUGAUUCCUGGACGAGGAUUUUAUGCACAAAUAAGUUCGGAAAUUACUAGUGAAUUUCCGGGCGUGAUACUUGCUGAGUACAGUGGGUAGUACUCAGUCUUGCUCUAUUUUCCCCAAACCCCAGAGUUUGAGUAUGCGUCAGAUGGUGGUUUCUCCGAGGAGUAGGCUUCGUCCGUGCCGUCGAGGAUGCCUGUGGAGUGGUGUUCUCGCUGCAGAUCAAGUCAAGGCUUAGCUCCAGUUAUCUUUCGUUUUUCCGCUGCAUUUAUGUAAGACUUUGACAAUGUUUGUAAGACGUGGAUCUGUAUGUCAACUUUGUCGUCUGUGUACCCCGGCCGGUCCUGGACGGGGAUUUUAAUGCACAUUCUGCUUGGAAUUCUAUUCGGGAAUUUCUGGGCGUGACAGCUGCCCAGCGCCGUCGUUCGGCCGGUUGGCUUUGUGCCGUGCCGUGCCCCAGCCGUGCCGCCCGUGGCCAUUGGAUCAGCUUUGGGCCGAUCCGGGCCGUCAGUUCCCGUGGACCGGCGGUGGACCGUCUCGGUGGUCCUGGUCCACGGUGGACCGACACCCUUGUCCCGCUGACGCGUUGGGCCCGCCUGUCGGCGCCGACGCCCCUUGCUGAUAUCAGCGAAUGCCUUUUCCUUUGAGAAAAUAAUUGAUAAUUGCAUCAUAAUUCGAUAAUAAUUGUAGAAAUCAAUUAAAAUGGCUCAAAACUUCUAAAAUUCAUAUCUAAUUCAUUCGAACUCCGAAUUGAGCCAUUCAACUUGCAAAAUUCAUCUAAAAUUGAGCACUACAUGUUUGUUUACUUUUUAUGUACUAUUUUCUUGGUGUUUAUUAGAGUUUUUCCUCGUUUUGCGUGCCAGCGUGUAGAAUCCGUCGUUUCAGAAGUCCGCGGUCGCGAGGAAAAGAGUUCGGAAGAUCAAAGUGAAGAAGCAAGGCAAGUCACACAUUCCCCCUUGAGCAUGUUGAUCCUAAUUUACAAAUGUUUUACCGUUUGCAAAUAAACAUGCAUGUCUUGCUAAUUACAUGGGAUCCGGGUAUUACCUAACUGCUUGCUUGUGCUAUGUUUACUUGAUAUCUGUCCUUUGUCAACCUUGGAUAAUAAAUCGACUAACUCAUGUUACUUAUGUGACCUAGCAAGAACUAUAUGCUUAGCCAUGCUUAAUUACCACGUGUUGUGGGGCUAUGUCUUGUGGGUACAGUUGUACACCUCUGAUCAGAGUAAAACUAUUCGAAUAGCCGUGUCCGCGGUUAUGGGCGGUCGACCAGAUUCACUGUGAUUAGUCUCACACUUAAUAAAUUGACCCAAUGCACUGUAGUUCAGGUGGGUUGGUUGGGCCUGUUCAACGUGGUGUAGCGUUGAUCAGUGGAGAUUUAAUGUUACUUUAAUUACUCAACAGUUUUACUGUUUUGCUCAAUAAAAUGUUUUACAACCGCCUUUAUGCAAAUAGCCACAAACCGUCCUUGCGUUCCCCUUGCACGUCUGCAUCGUUGGUGUGGCUUGUUGAGUACGGUGGGUGAACUCAGCCUUGCUAUUAUUCCCCCUUUUCAGAAGUGUAGUGCUUCUGAGCUGAAGACGAAGUUAGAAAACCAAGGCUCAGACCCCCAGUUGAGUUUUACCUUUGGAAUGGAGCUGAAGCCCCGCUAGGAUCGCAUUUUUUUCCGCUGCUGUCGUUUCUUUUUGGUGCGAGCACUAAGAGCCUCUUCUGUAAGUAUUGUACGCUUUAUUUACGUUUGGAAUUGUAUAUUACUUGUCGUUUUGUGUACCCUGGCUGGUCCUGAACAGGGAUUUAAUACACAAAAUAGUCUAGAAAUUUGGGCUAAAUUUCUGGGCGUGACAGUAGGUGUUCAACCGUUAUGCCGGCGAAAUACUUUUUCAUAGAUCAAACAGCCUCUAGAUACCUCUUCAUUCCUUCGUCUUUUGCCUCAAAAGAUUUGUCAACUUGGCUUGCCACCAGUUUGGAGUCUGUUCGGAUGAGCAAGCGCCGAACCCCCAAUGCUUUCGCCUUUCUUAGGCCCAACAGUACAGCUUUGUAUUUUGCCGUGUUGUUGGUUGUGUCGAACUGCAGUCUUGCAGCAUACCGAAUCGGCACGCCCCCUAGCGAAGUGAGCACCACCGCGGCGACCGCCCCCUUGUGUGACCACGAGCCGUCAGAGUACAUACCCAAGGUUAUUCGAUGGGCUCGGUUUCGGGGGCGAACGCCGGUGUCCAUUCGGCCACGAAGGCUGCUAGGACUUGGGACUUGAUGGCAGUGCGGGCGACAAAAUGCAGGUCGAAGGGAGAUAAUUCCGCCACCCACUUGUUGAGCCGGCCAGUAAUUUCCUUGCCCCGGAGCACUUCGGCCAAAGUAUACUGUGAUGGCACAGUGACUUUGUGGGCCUGAAAGUAGUGUUUAAGCUUGCUCGAAGCCAUCACUAGGGCGUAAGCAAGAUUUUCCAUUUCAAUGUAUCUUAAUUUCGCCCCUUGCAAAGCUUUGGAGACGAAAUACACGGGUUUCUGGCCUGACUCUCUCUUGGACGAGGGCUGCACUGACUGCCACCGGCGAAGCUGCUAGACAGAGCAGCAGUUCACUUCCCGGUGCUGGGCUGACCAAAGCGGGUGGGCUUUGCAUAUAUUGCUUCAGCUCGUCGAACGGUGCUUGGCAUUCAGGUGUCCAGCUAAACUUUCCCGCGCCCCGGAGGGUCUUGAAGAAGGGCAAACCUCAUUCGGCUGCCUUUGAGAGGAAUUGACUGAGCGCCGCAAUUCGGCCUGCGAGCUUUUGUACUUCGCGUACGCUCGACGGGGGCUUCAUUUGCUGAAUGGCAUCGAUUUUCUCGGGGUUUGCCUCGAUACCCCUUUCAGAAAUAAGAAAACCCAAAACCUUGCCCGCGCGAACAUACCCGCCGAGCGUAUGUUGUCGAAGGUUUCCUGUAUGUCGGACGCAUGGUCGAAAGCCUUGUGGCUUUCUACGACAAUAUCGUCGACAUAGGUCUCCACAUUUCGCCCCAGCUGCUUGUAGAGGACCUUGUAUACCAGGCUGGCGAAGGUUGCUCCGGCGUUCCUUAGGCCGAAAGGCAUCCUGAGGUGGCAAAAAGUACCGAACGGCGUGAUGAAGGCUGUCUUGGGGAUGUCAGCUGGAUUCAUGUGGAUCUGGUGAUAGCCGGAGUACGCAUCCAAAAAGCUCGUAAGUUCACAGCCAGCUGUCAAAUCCACGAGCUGGUCGAUCCGCGGUAGGAGGAAGUCGUCUUUCGGACAUGCCUUGUUGAGGUCUGUGAAAUCGACACACAUGCGCCAUUUGCCGUUCGACUUCCGCACCAGUACCGGAUUCGCCAACCACUUGGGAUGGUCGAUCUCUUGGAUCAACCCGGCUUUGAGCAACUUCUACACUUCGGCUUUUGCUGCCUCUUGGAGAUCAGCGGACAUCUUGCGCAGCUUCUUUUUCCUUGGCUUGGCAUCCGGUUUGACCGCCAGAUGAUGUAUGAUGAGGUCUGUCGAAACACCUCCCACUUCGUUGGGGCCCUAGGUGAAGAUGACAAUGUUUUUCUUGAGCACCUCUAGGAUGCUCUCAGCUUCCUUUUCGCCCAUGUUGCCUCUAAGCGAAACAAAUCUUGUGGGAUCGGCAUCGUCGACCUGCACCUUGAUCACCUUGCCGUGGGAGGCGGGCUUCGGAAUGUGCUUUGCCCGGACAUGCGGUUCGGCCUCAACAUUGUGCACUGCUCUGUUGAUUGCGGCCAAAUCGCCCUUUGAUGUAGCCGAAGGUUGGAGCCCCUUGACCAUGAUCACGCCUGCCAGACCAGGCAUCUUGAGCUUGAGAUAGUUGUGGUGGGAGAUGGCUUUGAACUUGUUCAAGGUUGCGCGGCCGAAGAUGGUGUUGUAGUUGUAUGGGAUGUCGACGACGUCGAAGAGUAUUUGCUCUUCGCGCCUGUUGUCGCUUGUGCCGAAAGCCACCGCCAGUUGUACUUGGCCCAGGACUUGAACUGCUUCGCCGCCGAAACCUUGAAGCGAGGUUGGUGCUUGGGUGAGGGCUAGGGUUGGCAACCCCAUCCUGGCAUAUGCUUCGGCGAUUAUGACAUCGGCUGAACUUCCUCCGUCGACCAAAAUUCGCCGGACUUCGAAGCCAACUAUCUCGGCCAAGAUUAUCAGGGGGUCUUGAUGUGGGAACAGCACUCCUUCGGCAUCGUCCGGCCCGAAAGAGAUCUGCUGGUUCAAAUACCGCGGAGCCCCUUCGCCUGUCGAAGUGAUGUUGUGCACCAUUCGCAGCUGCAUCUUCUUCUGCCGUUUUGACGGUUGAUCUGGUAGAUCGGCCCUUGUAAUCACUUGGAUUACUUUGCGUUGCACAUCUUGGCGCUAUUCGGCCGAGGGUGCUUGUUCUUGAGCAGCUUCGCGAGGUGCUUCGACAGCUGCUCCUUGCUGUGGCCUUGGAUCUUGUGCGCUGCCACGCUGCCGAAUGUUUCGGCAUUGCUCGGUGGUGUGCGAAGAGCGUCCAUGGAAGGCGCAGUAGAGGUAUUUUCUGACCUUCUUGCGAAUGGGCUGUUGAUGGCUGCCUGCUUGUUGGCCAUCGAACUCCAUGCGGAGGGCUUGAACUUCUUCGACAGCCUUCACGGCCUUGCCCGCGCGGUCGGUUCUGAAUUUCCUCCAAGUCAUGGGAGCUUGACUUGGCCUUGGCGGUUGUCCUUGGUUCGCUGGCUGAGGUUGGUGAAUGGCGAGAGGAGCCGGUUCGGCGACUUGUGCUUGUACUUGGGCUUGAGCAGCGGCGAUGAAGGCUUUAUCGUACUCGGCUUGGAUUGCUUGCCGUCGCUUGGAAUCCUCUUCGUCCCUUGCGUACCCGUCAAUGAUGUGAAGCAGGUGCUCGAGUGUCUACGGCUCCUGUUGGAGAUUUUUCUUGUGAGUUUGCCUUCAAGCAGCCCCGCCGAAGCGGCGUUGAUGACGGACACCUCGGUUAUGUCCUGAACUUGGCAUCGGGAUUGCGAGAAGCAACGCAUGCACUCCCUUAUCGAUCCCUCAGCCUCUGGCGAAUGCCGAGUAGAUGUUGCUGCGUCUUCGACUCCUCAUAGGUGCCUCGAAAGUUAAGGACAAAGACAUCGCGCAAUUGCUCCCAUGAGUAAAUGCUAUUAGCUUGUAAAUUGUAGUACCAAGAACGGGCGAUGCCAUCUAGAGCGAGAUGGAUUACCUUUGCCUUGGUGUUCUCGUCUCCGUGAGCGGCUUCGAUUGCAGACUCGUAGAUGGACAGAAACUCUUUUGGGUCCGUUUCGCCCGAGUACCGCAGAACGGGUGGGAACUUGAACUGGGGUGAGAUUGGACAAAUUUUGAUUCCCCCACUCAAUGGUAGCCCCUUUUCGCCCCCCGCCUUGCUCACGGUACCUUGCUGCGAAGGCCCGUUUGGUUGUGGAUAUGGCGUGGCGAAGGGCGAAGUCAUGACUAGCGCAUGAGGUUGGACCACAGUAUUCGGUUGCCCAGCUCCGAACGGUGGCACUUGGUGUGCCACCAUGGAUGGGUCGAACGGAGGCUGGGUCCAUGCCAUAGCGACCUGGUUCUGCGCUUGAUUUGUUCCGCAGCCUAGCGUCGUUACCUGUGGUCGAGUGGUUGGUGCUUGAAUGGCAUUGCUGAGGUUGAACUGUGGUCCUUGACUCCAUGGCGAAGCCCCCGGACUAGGCUGGUUCGACAGUAGCCAACUGGGUGCACCCUGACUUGUUUGCCCCUCCGGUUGGGCCGAAGGGGUUGUACCUGAAGUGUUGUGGGGUUGGCUGAGUUACUGAAGGAAAGCUUGAAGCUGCGCCUGCAAGGCCGAAGCCCCCUCCGCCAUUGCUUGUGACAUUUGACCAGGUGGUGGGGGGCGUACUUGGGCAGCGACUGGCUGAACUUGUGGCUAUACACGAGGGGUCGGGUGUACUGUUGCGGCCGAAGGCUACCCGGCGAAGUACGCUGGCGCUUGCAUGACUUGUGGCGGAAGGGCCUGAAUCGGUGCUUGCGGGUAGACUUGGGGUGGAAUGUAGCCCGCUGAAUACUGGAGAAUUGGGGCCGAAGCGACCUUGGCUUGCCUUGCUGCUUCGUAUGCCUGCUGCUGCUCUUGCAUUUGGCGAAGCAUGUCUUGAAGUUGCGUCAUUUUCUGGCGCAUGGCCUCCAUGUCUGCUUCGGCUUGUGCCUCAAGGUUGGGGUUGACUUGUGCAGCGGCGAGCGUGGUCGAAGUCGUAGCCGGUUGCGGCGAAGCGGCUUGGGGCGCCACCAGUUGGCUUGUCGAAAGGAUCUCCGCCCUGGUCUAGAGCGCCCUCGCCGCCGCAGCUGCCUAUGCCGCAUCAACCGUGUUCGGCGCCUGCCCCGUCCAAGCGGCAGGAGCCGAAGGUGGUGGUUGCGGCGCAGGUGCCGAAGCCGAUGGUGCUGCACCAGCUUCGACGACGGGCGCCGAAGGCUCUGCUCCCUCUUCGACGGCCAUUUCCCCUCCUGCUUCACUCUCCUUUCGCUUAGCAACCUUCUCCUUUGCAACCUUCUUCUGUGGCAUUCGCUCUCAGUGGUUUCGCUCAGAGAUCCCCACGGUCGGCGCCAGCUGUUGUCGAAGCGACAACUGCGUACGUCGAAGGAUGUGGUUACCCAACAGUUGUUGGGAACAGUGAAGUGUAUUAAUUUUGGAAUUUUUCUUGGGAUCCCCCUUUUACAUGGCCCUAGGGGUCUAUUUAUGAUCCUAUCAUAGGUUCCCCCAUUAGGGUUUAGGUUUUACAGGAGAAUUUACAUGGUUGCCCUUACAAAAGGGACAUUUGCAUAGGUACACAGCGUAAUUGUGAUACAUGGGCCUAUAAUGGGCCAAUUGGCGAAUGUUGGCCCAAGGGCCAACGGGCUUGAGCGGCUGGGAUGGCCCCUUGGGCCUCCUUUAAGCUGGACUCGUUAUGGCGAAGUCACCCUCCUUCGGCAUGCACCCUUCGCCAUUUAGUCUUCGCCCAAGAUGCCUUUGGCCUUGUGGGAUACCAGCGCGAUCCUUCACCCUUCGCUGCCUUUUGCUUAACAGACUUCGCAGUGGGUGCUUUGCCCAGAUGAACUUGAUGCCUUGAGCUCGAAUCCUCGCUGGUUGCAUGGUUUCAGCUAGUCUGGUAGAAGGGUCUCAUGACAUACCGCCAACCUCAUAUCCAUACCGCAUGGUUUUCAUCUGGUCUCGGUCGAAGCUCCUAUCUCACCCUUGCCCGUGUGGGGCUUGUUAGUGGUAUGUCAUGAAACCCUUCGACCAGACCUCCCGAAACCAUGCAACCAGCGAGGAUUCGAGCUCAAGGUGUCAAGUUCAUCUGGGCGAAGCCCCCAUGGCAAAGACUGUGAAGAAAGGCGGCGAAGGGCGAAGGAUCGCGCUGGUAUCCCACAAGGCCAAAGGAAUCUUGGGCAAAGACUAAAUGGCGAAGGGUGCAUGCUGAAGGAGGGUGACUUCGCCAUAACGAGUCCAGCUUCAAGGAGGCGCCCAUUAUUGGCCCUUGUAUCACAAUUACGCUGUGUACCCAUGUAAAUGUCCCUUUUGUAAGGGCAAUUAUGUAAAUUCCCCUGUAAAACCAAAACCCUACUGGGGGAACCUGUGAUAGUAUUAUAAAUAGACCCCUAGGGUCAUAUAAAAGGGGGAUCCCAAGAAAAAUUCCAAAAUUAAUACACUUCACUGUUCCCAACAACUGUUGAGUAACCACGUCCUUCGACGUACGCAGUGGUCGCUUCGACAACACCAAGAAAUUGGAGAAGACCCCUUCUGGUCUAGGACCUGGACGAACUUGUCACAAACGGUUCGAUUUCUUGUCAAAUGUCACUAUUCGACCAGUCAACGAGUUGAACCCCUCUCCGAGGCCUGGCUACACACUCAUGUUUGAAGAUUUUUUCGAUGACGGCUUCAUGUUUCCUUGCAGUCCUUUCCUUGUGGAUGUGCUCAAGCUGUAUGGGCUCGAGUUCCCACAACUUACUCCAAACGCUGUCGUGAGGCUAGGGGUUUUCGAAUGGAUCAUUCACAGUUGUGGUGGAGUUCCUCAUGCUCAAGAUUUUGCGUACUUUCACCACACCAGACACUACACCAAGCAGAAUUCGAAGUUUGGCUGCAUCAACUUCUCCCCCCACUCGAACCGCGGCUAUCCCGGGCCUAUUGUUUCUGCGAGUCGAACCAAGUGGGGAAACAAGUGGCAAUCAAAGUGGUUCUACCUCCAAAUUCCUGCCGAGUUGUAUGCUGAGAAAGACUGCCCUUUCACUUUUUCUUGUAAGACCCCGAAAGUUGUCUUCGAACCAUCGGUAGCGCUUUCCUCUGAUUUUACCGCCAUUCGAUCUCUAGUUGAAGAACUCGUUUCGAAAUUUAGUGUUCGAGACUUGGUCGAGGAGUUCAUCUGUCUUGGUAUUCGACCUCUCUCAACUAGUUGGGCCCUUAGCCUUGGUGAACUUCCGGAUGGGGCCACCUCACUACUUCAUCCCCUCAUCGUUUCUUCUGAACGUAAGUUUCAUCUUGUUUGAAAGUUUUCUUUUGCGUUUUCUUCGCUUUUCCAGUUUUUUAAAUGACUUAUUCAUGUUUUUCUAUUGUUUCAGUUGUCAUCCCAGAGGACAUUGUCCGUCCCUGUCGGAAGCUUAUUGGUCCGUUUACCAAGGAUGAGUACUUGAAGUACUUGACACUGCAAAAUGGGAAAAGACAAAAUCAUGUGUUUGCUGUUCUAAACACCGAUAUUCCUGCUUGCAUUCAUCCCGAGCAAGCUCCCGAGCUAGGAAAAAAAAAAGAAAAAGAAGGCAAAAGCCCCAUCCUCCGAUGAAGACGAAGUUGAUGUUGAAGAUAUCAAUGUGGAAAAUGAAGACAGCGAUGAAAAUAAGGAAAAUGACUAGGAUGAGGACAGUUCAAGCAGUGAUGAUGACUCGAGCAGCAGUUCGAGCGAUAGCUCGAGCGAAUCAACUGCCUCUGAUACUGCAAAGAUCGCUCCUCCUCCCCAUCAUGUUUCGAGCGGGUUGAAGAGGAAAAAUGUUUCAAGCAGGCCCCCAAACAUCAACGUCAAAAUUGUCAAUGACAGUGAUGAUGAACUGGAUGAUGAUUAAAUUCGAAUCGAAUUCCCUGUUAUCAACGUCAUCCCCAUUUGAGCUGAUGCCAGCCUUGCCGUUUCAGUGAACGAAACUGCUCCUUUGGAUGUACUUGCAUCCACUGCCACAGUAGUGGAGAAGAGUGUUCGAGCACAUGCUGUCGAGACUACCAGCUUGAGUAGCCCGACUCGAGCUAACAAAGACUUAGAAACUCAGACAGCUCAGUCUCCAGUCAACAUCAGCCAACGGCACGAAAUUGGAAAAAACACUAUAACUGGCGAUGUUCGAGUUGGUGAUAGUUCGAAAACUGUUUGGACUCCUUCUCCCCCAUUUAUAUUAACUCCAUCUCCUCAACUGGUAAAAGAAGUUCUUGGCAGCUUUAGCGAGCGUUGCGCUCAAGAUGGGCAUUGGUUGAUGGGUUUGCCCAAUUUCAGCGAUAUGGGGGAAAGUAGCCAUCACAGGGCCAACCUAUGCAUGGACGACUUGAAGCACCACAACCCCCUCGGCCCAGUUGGCGAUGAGCUCGAGAGGAUUUUAAUCCCUUUGGAGUUGGAAAAAGAGUUCAUCAAGGAAAAUGAUCUUAUGUCCUCUUGGGCCACGCUCGAUGUGUCUGCCGCAAAGGUAUUUUCUACACUUCGAGAUCUUUCACUGUCGAGUAAUCAUAUUUUUGAACUUUUAAGUUUUCGAGUGCUCACGUCUUACUUGUUUUGUUGUUGCUUUUGUAGACUGCUAGCCUUGCUCGACUUCAACGGGAUGUUGCUAAGAAAGCACUUGAGGCAAUUUGCGCUCAAUGGAAAAAAUCCGUCGAACAUAUAGCUAAACUCAAGAAAGACCAAGAAUUCCUUCAUCGUGAGCUCAAUCGAGUUUCUAACGAGAAGAACGCCUUCACUGAUCUUGUUCGAAAAAUCAGCGGCGUGAUAAAAGGGCUUAUUGAGGAGAAAAAGGUGCUCGUUGAAGAGAACAAAAAAUUACAUGCUCGAGAAAAAGCUCUCGAGCGGUCUGUCCUUGAACAUCAAGAGGUUUCUCGCCAACUAGCUGAUGCUGAAGAUAAGUUGAAAGAACAAAUCACCGUUUUGGAAAAAAGUAAUGAAGAGCUCGAGCUUAUCCGCAAAGAACAAAAUGAAAGUAAUGCUGAAGAUAUGCAUGUUUUUUUAGCUAAGGCAAAAAUUGCUCGAAAACCACCGUCAUCCUCAUCUUUCAAAGGAGUGACGAGGUCGAACUAUGUUUUGCCGCGUCACGCAAUUUUUAGCUUUCGAGCUCGAGUACAGAUUGUAGCGUUCGAGCUCAUGUUAGUUUCGUUUUGUUUUCUCCAAGCUGUGCAGAAUGUUUUCUCAAUUCUUGUGAUCGAGUUGUGUUUUCUCCGAACCGUGCAGAGUAUUUUAUCGAUGCUUGUGAUCGAGUUGUACUUUCUCCGAACUAUGUGGAGUAUUUUCCAUCAUCAUUCAUAAACACACAAAGACAAGUUUUUUAUACAGGUUCGGGCCUCCAUUAUGGAUAAAAACCCUACAUCCUGUUUUGUCACGCCCGGAAAUUUACUAGUAAUUUCCGAACUGAUUUGUGCAUAAAAUCCUCGUCCAGGAAUCAGCCGAGGUACACAAACUGACAAUUUAAUAUACAAAUCCAUCAUAAUAACUAAACCGAUAAAUACUUACUUAAGAGGCACUUAGUCCUCACCAAGAAGAAAACUGCAGUGGAAAAUAAAAUCUAGCGAAGCUCCGGCUCCACUCCCACAGGCAGCUCAACUGGGGUAUAAGCCAAACGUCUUCUCCUUCUGGAUCCUUUUUCUUCAACUGAGGUUGAUUGAUUAUUGCAAGAAUGAGCAUAUGACAUACUCAACAAGCCACACAGCAAAUAUGCAAGUGCACAAGGAUACCAAAGGAUGGCAUAAUAUAGGCUCAUUUGCAAAAGCAGCAUUUAGCAAAACAUUUAAAAGAAGUAAAACAGUGGAGUAAUUAAUCAGAAAUUUUAAUCAACACUGAACAACACACCCAUGCUGCACAGGCCCAACCAUCCUGAACAACCAUACCCGGCUGUACAGAUCUAUUCUCCAAACCAGGAGCUAAGCAAAUUAUUACCAGGUAUAACAUCCAUAAUUAUUGUGAGAGGUGUGAGACUAAUCACGAAAAACAUUGCUCAACCCGCCCAUAACCGCGGGCACGGCUAUUCGAAUAGUUUUAGUCUGGCCAGAGGUGUACCACUGUACCCACAAGACACGAUUCCACACAUGUUACCAUGCCCCGAAAUACCACCACGGCAUUGCAAAGGGGGAAAUCGUGACAAUACCCUUUGCACAACACAACUCAAAACAGUGCACCGUUCCUGGAUCAUAAUCACCCCCUUAUAAACAAGGCAUGGACUCCCCAGCGACCCCCAUGGACUUCUCGCCACUUCUCAGUCUGGCGCACUAUAAUGAAUCACGCUAUACAAAAGAUAAAGCCGUUGCCCACGCUGGCUUGUGGUUGGCACGAUAAAUGUUUCACAACAGUAGCUCGCGAACCGGUCCUUAAUUGCCAUGAGCACGACCUUCAAAACCAUGUGCUCACAACCCACCAUUAAUCAUAUUUUAAUUACCAAUUAAUUAUCAUAACACGAUUAACCAUCGUGAGCUACCAUUAAAUAUAACCAUAAAUAAUAAUGUAAUAUAUAUGAUUCAUCCUAUUAGUGAGCUAAUGUUUCUAAGCUUUGCUAAGCAAUUAUAUCUAACAUUUAGCUGAACCAAACCAAUACAUAAGGUUCAAGCUAAUCAAUUUAUUACCCAAGGUAUCAAGGAAUAGGAUAUUCAAUGCAAAUUGGCCAUAACAAAGGAAUAGGUUCACACCACCCGGUGACAUUCGAAAAUAAAUGCACAGUUGAAAUAAAUAGAGAAUUUAAAUAUAGGAUCAACAUGCUCAAAGGAUUGUGUUUAGGAUCUGUGUGACUUGCCUUGCAAUAAUCGGUCUUCAAUUAAUCUUCUUGAAUACUUCCGGUGCACUCACGAACCUUCGCAACGACGGAAACAACAAGCUAACACGUAAAACGAAGAAAAAGACUAAUAAAAACCAAAUAAACAAUACAUAUAAAGUAAACAAACAUGUAGAUCAUAAUUUUAGAUGAAUUAUGAGACUUGAACGGCCUCAUUCUGACUUCAAAUGAAUUUAUUAUGAAUUUUACAAGAUUAAAUCUAUUUAAAGCCCAUUUAAAAAAAAUUAAAUAAAUUUAAUUCAAUUUAUGGACAAUUUUAAUAUGUAGAUCUUUAUUUUAGAAAAAUUUAGCAACUUGAACCACCUGAAACGGAUCUACGGUUAUUUAGUUAUGAUUUUCCGAAGUUUUAAUCUAUUAGAAAAACGAGAAAAAGAAAAACCGAUGACGUCAUGCUGACAUCACCCAUGGCCGAACCAAGAUGGCGACCUCGCCGGAGAUAGAGCGGCCGGCUGCGGAAUUGGAGGGCAUGUACACAUAGAGGAUGACGAGACGAACCCGAUGGUACUCACCAACGCGACGAACGACGACGGAUGACGGCCGGCGACGAAGAAGCGACGGCGGCGGCGGCUUGCACGGUGGCGACGGCUCUACGGGUCACGGGAGAGGACGGAAGAGGGGGCAAACGAAAGAGGAGGACUAGGGGGUCCUAUUUAUAGCCUUGGAUUGAAGAGAUCGGACUCCUCCCGCAAGAAAUCGAUCCGGGAAAUCAAAAACUCGGUUUUGGAGAUAAACUCAAAAACGAGUUCGAUUCGGAUAAAAUACUCAACGGUUUGCUCCGAUUCUUAGGGGAAAGGAUAGAGGAGAACGAGAGGAUCAAAACCCCUCAAAAAUCCGGAAGAAACGGGGCCGGAUUGGGUGCGGAUUUGAGGCGGCAAGGCGGCGGCUCGGGCUAGGCAUGGCCGGCCGGCCGGAGGUAGGAGAAGCAACCGACAUGUGGGCCCCACAUGUCGGCGCCUGAGAGAGGAGGGGGCGGGCGGCUCGGCUUGAGCCGACUCGGGCCGGUUUUGGGCCGGCUCGGCCGCGCGGGAGAGAGGGAGUGUUGGGCCGAAUUCGGCCCAACGACUUAAGGGAGGGCUUUUAAAACUUUUUCAAUUAAAAUAAUCACUAAAAUGAUCUUUGAAUUGUUAAAAAUACUUCCAAUGCUCAAAUAAUUUCAAGAAAAAUCCUGAAAAUACUUGGACACUAAAAGUACUUAACAAAAUUAUAAUUAGACCAUUUAAUGAUUAAUUUAAUAUGUGGGUAAUUACUGAAAUGCUCUUUGUAUGAUUAAAAUUAAUAAUUGAGCUCCGAAAAAUCCGAGAAAAUUCCAGAGAGUAUAAUUAACCAUGGAGAAUUUAAUAAAAAUUAAAUCCAUCCAUGCUUUAUAUUUAGGAAAUUUUAUUUCCCACAUUUAACUUCACUUGUAAAUUAACGAACAUUUAAUAUAAAUUCUAAUAAUAAUUUAUUAAAUAAUUUAUAAAUCCUGAAACAAAAAUCAGGAUGUGACAUGUUUAUAUAUAUUAAGAUUGGAGAGGAGUACUUUACAGGCUGGCAGGUAUUUUACAAACUGAGUAAUAUACUAUAAGCACGAAAAGUUUUUUUUAAAACAUAUAACUUCUUCAAUGAAAUGGCAUUCCAUGUGUGCUUUAGUUCUUCUCCAUCAAGAUAUGGCAAAUUGAAUGCGCUUGUUUCUAUUCUUUUCUUCACUAUAAAUGGUCCUUCCCAUUUUGACUCAAGUUUCCCAACAACAACUUCAAUACCAAAUCACCUACUUGUAUUUUCCUUGUUUUCACCCUUUUGUUGUAGUAGUUUUUGGUUCCUUCUGUGUACAUUGUCAUUUUGUACAAUGCUUCAACUCUUAUCUCGUCUAGCAUUUCUAGUGUAAUCUCUCUUCUUCAUCUUGCUGAUGAAAUAUGACUCGAGGUGAAUUUGCUCCAACUUCACUUGGCCUCAUUGCCUUAUCUCCAUAAACUAGAAUGAAAGUUGUCAUUCCAGUUGAUCGAACCACCAUCGUUCUUAAUGCCCAAAGCACCGACAAUAGGUCUUCUACCCAUUUUCCCAUAGCUGAUCCUUCCACCCUCUUUUUAAUGGCUUCCAUUAUCUUGCCAUUUGCUCUUUCUUCAGUUCCAUUUGUUUGUGGAUGGCCUACUGAAGCAAAUUGAGUGAUUUACACAUGUCUUUGAACUUUCCUGACUCGAACUAUUUUCCAUUGUCACAUGCUAUCUCCCUUGGAACUCCAAAUCGGCAUAUGAUGUUCUUCCAAACAAACUUUUGUACUUCCGCAGAGGUGAUCCUCGCUACAGCUUCUGCUUCAAUCUAUCUUGAAAUAUACUCAAUUGCCAUAAUGACCAAAAGCAAAUCACCAUCUAUAGAAUGGCCAAACCGGUGGAAUUUGUUGCAACUCUUUCGGUAGUGCUUUUGAUGUUGGACCAAAUUUGUGGCAUGCUUUACAUGUCUUGAUGUAUUUCUCCGUGUCUUUCAUGAUUGUUAGCCAAUAUAUUCAUUGUCUUAUCACCUUUGAUGCUACUGACCAUGGUGCUUGGUGAGCGCCACACAAUCCUUCAUGUAUCUCCACCACUAUUCUCAUGCCUUCUUCUCUUGUUACACACUUUAACAGUGGAGUGGUAACUCCGCUCUUGUAUAACUGUCCUUCUAUUACUUUGUACUUCCUGGACAUCAAUUGUAGCUCCUUGCUUCCUCUUCUUUCUCUGGAAGUUGUUCACUAACAAGAUACUUCAGAAUUGGUUCUCUCCAAUUUGCCACUUUUUGUAUGCAUGUAAACUCUUUUCUCUCAUAGCUUGGAGUAAGUUACAACAUCAAAAAAUGAAUAUUCCAAUGGUUGGCCUGCAGCAGCUGCUUUUGCUAGCUCAUUGUCUUCUCCGUUUUCUUCUCUUGCUAUGGCUUUUACGGUUAUUCCAAGAAAGUGCUUUUCAUUCAACCUUGCUUCUUGUAGGUAUUUUGCCAUUGUUUCUUCUUUUGCCUCAAUUGUCUUCGAAAAAUGACUAGCUACCAACUUUGAAUCAGUUUUAAUUAUCAAGAGCUGAGCCCCUAGUGCUUUUGCCUUUCUCAUAACUAGCAAAACUCCUUCAAAUUCUGCUAUAUUGUUGUUAACAACGGAAUUUGCCAUCAGAUUCGGAGAAGAAGGAAGAAGAUCAAAGCGGAUUCGGUGUUGGAUCGAGUUAGAUUUGGAGUCGGACUGUGCAUUGGCUGAAGACUGUAUCGGUUGAAAACAGAGGUUGAUAAUAAUCAAGGUUGAUAAUGCUGAUGGCCGAUACAGCCGAUAUGGUGUGACUUGGGCUCGGCAUGGGCCUAGAUUGGUUUAACCGUCAUUGCCAGUUAGAGAUAGAGCUCAAUUAAGGCAAUUGUAUCUAUUAAUUAGGUUAGUUAUGACGGUUUUGUUAGUUUUGGCAAGAGACCACCGUAUAUGGUCUUGUCGAAAAGGCGACCCUGGAGGAAGACCUCGUGAAGACAAAUACGAAUCUGGCGAAUUUGUAUCAGGAGGUCAAUGUGCGCGCUGAGAACAUUCGUACGCAGUAUGAGCAUUUCCAGCGGGAGCUUGACUCGGUGAAGGCACAGCGCGAAGACUUGGUGAAGGCCCUGGUCCCAACUCUGCGCGUGCUCUUCCCGAGUCGAGGUGAAGGCAAAGAUCCCUUCAUGAUGGCAGGGUGUCGUCGGAUGGCUGAGUCGGCUGCGAGGAUCGCCACCAACCAUGCCCUGGCAAUGGUGAAGUCGCACUACCCUUGGGUUGAUAUGGCUGCUGUCGAGGAAGGGUAUGCGGCCGACUACUCUGAGGAGGAUGUCGGCUGGCGAUUAGAAGAAGUCGCCUCUGCUGCUGCUGCAUUGGUCAAUGAUCUUGACCUAUAAUGAAACACUUUUCCUUUCUAUCUUGUUGGUUAGAACAUGUGGGGGAAUGUGUGGCAAAGACUGAAGCUUGUAAAUACGCUGGCGUUUAAAUUUGCAGUGUACUUAGCUUUCUCAUGCUGCCGACUAUUCAAGGAGGGUGGCCAGACUCCUUUACCAGCUGGAUUGAUGUAGGAGCCCGGCUGAUGCCCUGAUGCUACAAGUGAGGAAGGCCUUGCCACCCAAGUGCUUGGGGAUCUCGCCCGGCUUCGAGAUGUGUGCUAGGCAUGGUGGCAGGAGGUUACAAGUCUCCUGCGUGACAAUACAAAGGGAAACAAGGACCGUCAAGCCCAUGAAGCCGAGGUCUUCGGUCAACUCCUAGAUGGCCGCAAACCAUUUACGGAGCCAACGGUAUGGGGACACCUGGCUCAGCCGUUCGGGUCUGACCGGGGUCGGGUGGUGGCCUGGGGGUAGUAAGUCCCCGAAAAUGGCUGUGCUUCAGGUAACAAGGACCGUCAAGCCCAAGGACCUGAAGCCAUCGCUCAACCCCUAGGUGGUUGCCAGUCACCUGUGGGGCCAACGGUAUGAGGGACACCUGGCAUAGCCGGGUGAGGCAUGGCCAGUGCCGGAUGGUUGCCGGGAGGUUUUGAGCCUCCUGACGUGGCAAUGCCGCAAGUAACUAGGACCGUCAAGCCCGGGAACCUAAAGCCUUCGCUCAAGCAUGCUUGAAGGUAAUCGUGCUGUUGCUGCAUCAUGUUGUUGAAGUUGGCGAACUGAGCAUCAGCAGAUUGUUGCCAUUCUUGCGUUUGUGCUAUGUGUUCCGAGAGGUUGUACUGAAUCUCUCCCCCGUCUGCAUAUCAAGGGUGUCCAGUCUACUAGAGAUUUCACCCAAGUCCCAACGAGAGGAACUUGAGCGCCAUCCACCAGGAGAUGGAGGCAAACCGCUUGAUCUGGAGGGUUGGUUGUCCCCCCAUUGUAUGUCAUGAGGUGCACGCCACCGGUCCUCACUGGCACUUGCCCAGCCUAAGACUCCGAUGUUGUGACGUGGAGCUUGGGUCCAUCCGGGUGCAUCCCUAGUUGGUUCCCAACCUCGCUCAUACAUCUGUACGGUGUUGAGGAUGAUGAACUUUCUCGUUCAUUUCUUGUCAUGUUGCGCGUCUCCCUGUAUGCUCCACCUGCACGAGAUUCUUCUAUGGUCUGCAGGGGUAUGGUUAGUUCAUGACAGUUGUACAAAUGAUACCCCGCAUUUGGCAACAGGAUUUCAUUUGUACAACCAGAGAAAAAGUAAAUCAAAGAUCCAUCUUCUCCAUGUUUCAAAAAAUGCCCUGCACUAGAUAGGCCUCAUCAAUACGCGGACGAGUAACUGAGAAAAAAGCAAUUUGGUCACUAACGACUCCUAGCCCUUUUGCUAUCCGAGUAAUCAGAGAAGUGCACUCAACAGGAGCAAAGAACUUGAUACUUUCUAACCAUUGCCUUAUCAUACAUUUCACAGGAGCAAUUUUAAUCUUUCUAACCAUGGCAAACAUAAUAAUCAAUUCAUCUCCCCUAAUGGGUCUAAUAUCACCUCUAGGAAACAAAGUCAUAGCAAUCCAUUUGUGCAUAAGCCUAAGUGUAGGAUUAUGGAUAUCAUUCGUUCUAGGUUUCUUGCAAAUUGUAGCACCGGAAAUGUCUUCCCAAAACCUAUUUUUCUCGAACCCAGAAAUUCCUUUCAAGAGAUCGAUUUUACAGGUAUCGUGAAAACCAAGAAGUGUACUUAAACCUUUCCAUGUAAGUGUAAACUCCUCAUGGAAAAAGCGAAAGGAAAUUCCAUCUUCUAUUUCUUUCAAAGUGCACAGAAAUUGCAAAGUAAGCAAACGAGAACCAGACUCAUCUACCACAGCAAAUUUCUGCCAACCAAUAGCUUUCCAAAUAGCACGAAAUUCAGUAUCCAUACCUAUCUUUUUCAGCAGCUCUGGUGAGUAUUCUCGCGUGUGAGCAUACUCCCGGUCGGCCAGCAUGUAGUAGCUUGUCUCUCCCGAUCACCAACAAGGUCAAGGUCGGCAUCGUUCAGGCUGAAAUUUUUACAAUUUGGUCCUUUUUGAAAACUUAUUUUACAAAUAGACCCCAGGGAAAACUUAAACCGGAAAUAGUCCUUUUUGGGGCGCCAGAGUGGCUGGCCCGUACCCCAACAUGGUGGCGCCNAACUUGGCCCGUGCCCCGUGCCACCGUGGCACUAGGGCUGUCGUGGAGGUGCUGACUGGGCAGAAAGGGGGCGCCAGCCACACUGGCGCCGCCCCUCAUACCACGGCGCCAGCAUAGCUGGCGCGCCCCUCCUCUGUGCCUUAAACCCCGUGGGCCCCACCACCUUUCUCCUCCCCACUCCCAUUUUCGCCAUUCCCAGCCCGAGCAGCGAGCUGCUGUUCUUCUCCCUCUCUCUCCCCCUCACCUCUCCACCUCAAAUCCACUCAAUUUGAAGCCGUUUUUCACGGGAUUUUUUGUGGAAAUCGAAGAGAAAGGUAGACUCCUUCAUUCCCCCCUCUUUUUUUUCAUUUUUAUUGGUUGAAUUUGUAGAUCGGUGGGUAACCCUAGAACCCCUUUUUUACCCAAAUUUGUGAUUUUUAGCAUUUGUUCUUAGGAUUGGCUUGUUGUAGUGCUACAUGUUUGCAAUGUACUCAUUGGUGUCAUGAUUUUUUUAACCAUAUAUGUGGUAAUGUUAAUUUUUGGAUGGUUUGGUUGGAUGGAUGGAUGAAAAAUUAUGGUUGAGGCAUGACGGAGGUUUGGGUUGUAUGAUAGAGUAUUUGUAAUAUUUCGAUGUGUAAUGCAGUAGUAAACUUGUUGAUAGUUGUAGGUGGAUUAAAUAUUUUUUUGGAGUAGUAGCUUUGGGACAAUUUAAGUUAUCCAUUGGUUAUAAUAUGUCGGUUUGGACUACGUUUAGGAAUGAAGAUUUAAUUUUUUUUGCAAAGUUACAUUUGAUUUUUUGGUGUAGAUGGAUAGACUUGUUCGUGUUUACUACGGUGGUAGAGUGGUGGAACCUUAUGUUGGUGGACAUGUUGAGUUUGAGGAUAUGUCAUUGAAGACCAUUUUGUUUCCCACCCACCCAACUCUAGAUGAACUAAGGUCACGAGUGAAAGAAGUUCUUGGAUGGACCGAGGAUAAUGUGGAGAUUCGUUUUUAUGGGAGAUACGAUGUUGGUCAAGGGCAUAAGUAUAUAUUAAAUGUGAUAAGUCAGUUGGAAUGGGAAGUUUACUUUGAUUUGGUAAAAGAGUCACAGUUUAGAUCUCUAGAGGUGUUUGCAUCAAAGUUAGUUCGUACCGUAGAAAAUUUGGAUCUAAACAAAUCUCCUUCUUAUCAUUACGUUGAGAAGAAUUUUGUGACAUAUUAUUCUCGUCGUGGAGGGGGUGCAAGUAAGAGUGAGUUGGUACGAGAAGACUUGGAGGGGGAAGGAGAGAAGAAGAGACCUUUGCUUGGAAAUGAUUUAUGGGAGGCAGGACCAUCAAAGAGACAUUGCGGUACUGAUGAUGUGGAUGCAGCGAGGGUGAUGAAAAGGGAGUUAGUACAAGAGGGGCUUGAUCUAAGUGAACAUUUGUCGGCGAGUGUUCAUUGGUCGUCGUACGGAGUCAACCCUGAAUACCCGACAGAAGUAGCUGGCCAAUAUGUGAAUCCAGAUGAUUACUUUGAUGUCGAAUUGAGUGGUGGUCACGAUUCUGUCUCAGUAGAAGUCAAUAGAGAUGAUGUUGACGAGGAGGCAAGUGUUGAGCAAUAUGAUGUUGAAUUUGCUGAAGACUCUGAUGAUGACCGUCCAUUCCCUCCACUUACUAAUAAUGACAAGUUAGCAUUAGAGGAAUGUCGUGCGUUUGAGAAGGUGUCUGGGAGGAAGCCGGACAUUCCUGAGUCUAGGGACCUAACACAUGCCCAUGGUGCACUACUAGAUCGCAGCAUCAACCUAGAUCAGUUGCCACAACCAUUCCAGGUGGAUGGUCUCAGAAAGGGUUUAGAGUUCCCAUCCAUGGUGCGCAUUGAAGCUAUGGCUCCAGGAGUACGCCAUCGUGCACCAUCGUCCAUACCGUGUUGUCAAUUCUGCCGCAAAUAGGAGGUACACUGUUAAAUGUGAAAACCCACGGUGCAAAUGGAAGGUCCAUGCAACUAAGAGGUCUAGUGGCACGUGGAGGAUAUCACGGGUAGGUAAGGAACAUAGUUGUGCUACUGCCGAAGGUUCAGGGAGCCACCGGCAACUGACAUCAAAGUUCAUAGCAAAUAGGUUAUGCAAUGCCAUAAAACUGCAACCUACACUCUCUGCUUCUGCGUUAGCUUUGUAUAUAUUGGAGGUUUUCCAGUAUAGGGUGAAGUAUGGCAAGGCUUGGAGGGCACGAGAGGAGGCUAUGAAGCUCAUUUACGGUGAAUGGGGUGAAGCGUAUGUCCGUUUGCCCACUUUGCUGCAAGCCAUUAAGCAGAGGAAUCCCAGUAUGGUCUACCACAUCGAUACUCAUCCUGAUAGGGUUGUCAACGUUGAUGGAGUGACCAAGAAAAUUUUUAUGCGUGCAUUCUGGUGCUUUGGUCCUUCCAUUGAGGCUUUUAAGCAUUGUAGGCCUGUACUAGCUAUAGAUGCAACCUUCCUAACUGGGAAAUACGGUGGUGCCUUGAUGACUGCAUUAUCAGCUGAUGCGGAGGACCAACUUGUACCUUUAGCUUUUGCCUUGGUGGAGAAAGAGAAUUCACGAGACUGGUGCUGGUUUAUCGAUCUUGUCCGACGGGUUGUGGUUGGGCCGCAUAGGGAGGUUUGUAUUAUCUCAGAUCGACAUGCUGGUAUAAUGGAAUGCCAUGAUGACUCCUAUUCCAGGAUUGCCAUCGGUUCACCACCGGUGGUGCAUGAAGCACUUCAGUGCUAAUUUCCACAAGGCCGGUGCGGACAAGCAUCAGACAAAAGAGCUCCUAAGGAUAUGUCAGAUUGACGAGAAGUGGAUAUUUGAGAGGGAUGUUGAGGCACUAAGGCAGCGUAUUCCCGAAGGUCCUCGUAAAUGGCUUGAAGAUGAGUUGUUGGAUAAAGAUAAGUGGUCUCGUGCAUACGAUAGAAAUGGCCGCCGGUGGGGUUACAUGACAACCAACAUGGCCGAACAGUUCAAUAGCGUGCUAGUUGGUGUUCGUAAGCUUCCAGUGACGGCCAUUUGUAUCAUUUACGUUCAUGAAGUGCAAUGACUACUUUGUGAACAGACAUGAUGAAGCUUUGAAGCGAGUCCAGUUAGGGCAGCGUUGGUCCACCAAGGUUGACAGUAAGAUGAAGGUGCAAGAAAGUAAGGCGAACAAACACACUGCAAGGUGUUUCGAUAAGCAGAAAAAGACAUACGAGGUCACAGAGAGGGGUGGUAUAACGCGUGGUGGUGUUAGAUUCGGCGCAAGAGCCUUCAAAGUUGAAGGUGAGGGGAACUCAUGUUCUUGCCAAAGGCCAUUGCUCUACCAUAUGCCUUGCUCACAUCUUAUACACGUUUAUCUGAUUCAUGCAAUUGAUAAGGAAUCUCCCAACCGAAUGCCGUAUCAGUUCUCUUCAAGAGCCGUUGUGAACACAUGGACAAGUCGCUUUGAGCCAUACCUCGACCCCACACAGUGGCCAUCGUACAAUGGUGAAGAAUUUGUUGCUGACCCAAAUUUGAAGAUUAAAACAAGAGGGAAGAGGAGAUCGAAACGAUUCAAGAACGAAAUGGACUCGGGUCUGGGUAGUUCUGGAAGGAAACCACCUUCAUGCGUUCAACUUGAUGCUGCGCCGGUGCAAAAUAGAUGCUCGUUGUGUCAUCAGGAGGGUCACAAGAAAACUAAGUGUCCUAAGCGUCCAAAAAAGAAGAAGUCCAAAAAAAAUUUAAGUGUUAGGGAGGUAAAUAUUUUGUUUUCCUACUCAUGUUCUCGCAUUCAUUUUCUUUUAAUAUAUGUCACAUUGGUAACUAACGGUGAAUUUAUUACUUUUUCAUGUAGGAUGGCCGAGCAGGGACAACCGCCGACUUACCCAGCCUUGGAGGCGUACUACGAGGCCCGUCAUCGCGGGGCUGCGAUCGAGGCGGGGAGGGUAUGAAUCGGCAUUGAUUCACUUGUGCAUAAGUAUCGGUAGCGUGUAUUUGACAUUAUAUUAACUAAUUGAUUUACAAUUGCUAAUGCAGGUACUUCAACCGCUCCGAGUCAGAGCUCAUACCCCCCCAGUGUUCGACGAUAGGUACAUCCCGUACCUAAAGGCUGCCGGGUUGCUCGGGGUGGCCUUGGUCGUGAGCAGAGGAAUGCCAGUCUUCAACGCUCCUGCGUUGACAGCACUUGUGGACAGAUGGAGGCCUGAGACACACAGCUUCCAUCUCCCCAGUGGUGAGAUGACCAUCACUCUACAGGAUGUGGCUAUGAUCUUGGCCCUCCCAUUACGGGGGCAUGCCGUGACGGGCAGGACAGAGACUCUUGGAUGGCAUGCACAAGUGCAGCAGCUGUUUGGCAUUCCACUGAACAUUGAGCAGGGGCAAGGGGGGAAGAAGAAGCAGAAUGGAAUACCCCUGUCUUGGCUGAGUCAGAACUUCUCACAUCUUGACGACGAUGCUGAGCCAUGGCGUGUUGAGUGUUAUGCCCGUGCAUACAUCUUGCACUUGUUGGGACGGGUUCUGUUUCCUGAUGCUGGGGGUGACAUUGCUUCGGCGAUAUGGAUUCCUUUGGUCGCCAACCUUGGUGAUCCUGGGCCGUUCCAGUGGGGGUGGACAUAUAGACAGAUCUGUGAGGCCUGUUGUCGUCAGGCACCAUCAUCCACAUGAGUGUUGUGUGCUAUGGAUUCAGAUGUGAAUGUGUUAAAGACUACCGUUUGAAGGCCUAAGUGGAGCCAAAGUUUCACUCNUUGGCCCUACAAUGAGCCAGACAUGGAGAAGACAGUGGCCUACCUUUGUGAGAGUACUGCCACUGCACAUGCUCACCGGGAUGUGGCAUACAAGCAUUAUGUCAAUGAGAUGGACUGCUUGCAGCCUCAACAUGUAAGUACUUCCAAUAUCACUUCUAGUUAGACAUUUACUUCUUUAAUUGAGAUACUAACCAACGACAUCUCUUCAACUUUUGCAGAUUGAGUGGUUACCAUACCACACAAAUGAGGCUUCAAGCUUGACCCUGAACUCGAUGUGCAAUCGAGACUCUGACUAUUUCAUGUACCAGUGCCCAUUGAUUUGUUUCUGGGCAGUUGAGUACCACCUUCCGCACCGUGUCAUGCGACAGUUCAGGAAGAAACAAGAUUGGCCGGUUGAGGACAUCUCAACUGGAGUUGAAUUACACAAGUAAAUAUUUCUUAUCUUUGUUUGCUUUCAUUGUCAAUGUUCAAUUUUGUACCAUUUAACCCUUGACGAUGCUCACUACUGUUUCAUCACCUUGUACUUAUCUAGGUAUGACAGGGUGAGAACAAAGAAGGUGAAAGACUGGGGGCUAGAGCAUAAUAGAUACAUUGAUGAAUGGAGAACAGCCGGAAGGAACGAUAGGUACAUCGAGACUAUACACCAAAAUCACCUUUUCUCAGAGUACCUUCGUUGGCUGCAUAGGACAUAUAGACUGUUCCUCCGCCCUACUUGGACGGAAGCCGACAUAGAGGAUGACCGCGACUCCGAUGAGGGGCGGAAUCCCUAUGAUGUCCGGACUAGAGUUGGAUAUCAAAUGGAGCACGCCCCACUUAGAGACAGAGUCGUAAGUUUUCUUGCAUUUGUCAAAGUUACUUCCAUUUGCACCCUAGACCCUAACAUAUAUAUUUUCACGCUUUCAGUCGAGAGAGCUCCUCAGGAGUGUGAAUGAAAUGGGGCAUGCCCUCCAAGCUCCGAGGGGUGGUGAGGACACGGAGAACACGCUCCGCAAUGUUUUAGAGGUAAAAUUUAUUUAGCACUUUGCAUUACUUGAGUUAUGCCUAACAAACUUCUUUUUUUUUUGAAAUGCAGAAAGUUCGUCAAAGGUCCCGGAAACUUGCAGCAAGAUUAGGUUGCAGGUCGGUUGGAUUGGAUGACGUGUACCUACCGGGGAGACUACCACCACCACUACCUCAAUCCGCGCGUCCAAGUACUGCUCGACACUCCAUCAGGAUAGAAGAGCGUGAAGGAGUUGGUGGCUCGUCGUCGUCACGCAUUAAGCAAGGGAGGGGAAAGGGGAAGGCGCCGGCUCCACCUAGCGACGACGAUGACGAUGAGGACGAGGAGGAUGAGGACUACGUCGCACCAGACGCCGAGGAGAUAGACAUGUCACAGCUUCCCGACGCGCCUCAGGGGACGCAACCCACGCAAUACAACUUGCGAUCCACUCGGGCAGCGAAAAAGAGGUAAAAUGAGCUUACCAUUCUCAAAUGUUAUUUGAUUUCCCUUAUUUUGUUUUUAAAAUGUUUUAAACAUUGGAUUUUCAAAUGUAGGUACACUCCGGGCUCGCAAGCAAUUCGGCGCCAACGGAAGAAGUAAUUUGUAUGAAGUUAAUCUAUUGGUUGGUAGUAUGACAUAUGUGGUGCACUAUGUGAUAUAAAAUGUGAUGGACUAUGUGAGGACUAUGUGAUGGACUUUUGACAUUGUUUCAUGUGUGGAAUAUAGGAUGGACUUUUUGCAUUGUUUGAUGUGUGGGAUAUGUGAUGGACUUUUGGCAUUGUUUGAUGUGUGGAAUAUGUGAUGGACUAUGUGAGGACUAUGUGAUGGACUUUUGGCAUUGUGAUUUGUGCAAUUGGAACCCGUUUUAGUCUGUACGAAUCUGUGAAUUGUGACUUUGCCAUUGCCAACUGUGAAUUGGUACAUUUGUGCAAUAUGGAUCUUCAAUUUGCAGGGAGGCAGAGGGCGGCGCCAACCACCCUGGCGCCGAGGUUGUGAAGGGCGGCGCCAGCCAGUGCCGCGAGGCAGAAGGGUUUCGGGCUGGGGGAGGGCGGCGCCAGCUACCCUGGCGCCGUGGUCCAUGAGGGCGACGCCAGCCGAGGCCCGGAGGCAGAAGGGCUUCGAGGGGGGGCGCCAGCCACCCUGGCGCCGCGGUCGGGAGGGGGGGGCGCCAGCCGUUGCCUGGAGGCAGAACAGACUUGGCGAAAAUUUUGGGGGGGGGGGAAAGUUGGUGGGGCCCACAGAGGAGGGGCGCACCAGCCAUGCUAGCGCCGUGCUAUGAGGGGCGGCACUACUUUGGCUGGCGCCCCCUUCGGCCUAGUCAGCACCUCCACGACAGCCCUAUUGCCACGGUGGCACGGGCACGGCGCCAGUGUGGCUGGCGCCGCCAUGUGGGGGUACGGCGCCAGCCACUCUUGCGUCCCAAAAAGGACCAUUUCCGGUUUAAGUUUUCCCAGGGGUCUAUUUGUAAAAUAAGUUUUCAAAAAGGACCAAAAUGUAAAAAUUUCAGAUCGUUCAGGAGUCGUCGGGGAGCUUCGGCGUCUUCCAUCAUGAUAUCGGCUGAUGAACGAGCACUAGACUCGUCAUGACAACUUGACGAAGAGCCAGACCCCUUGAACAGACGAGACAAUCACCUCCUCAUUCUGCACAAUGGAGCAAGAACGGACUAACUCGGCGGGGGUUAGAAAUGACAAGAGUUUCAACCGCCGGUUGGUUUCACCAAAGCAACUUGUAUAUAUGCAACAAAAUAUUUGAAUUUGAGGGAAACUAUCAAAGCUUGAGUGAACUUGUGAGCAAACUUUGGAGAGGGAAUGAAAAAUAUGUUGAAAUGGUGUGGAAUUCCCUCUCUCGGCCGGCUGAAUUUUAUAGGGUACCCACAACGGUCAGAAAUGACAUGUUGGACCCACUAGCUGUUACCCUGCCAAAAGUGGCAGGGAACCACGGCCUGGCUGGAUGGGUUCGCCCGAACCCCUGGUAGGCCCAACCGGCCCCACUUUCGGCCGUUGAGUUCCAACGGUCAGUGUGGUCGUGGCAUAGUAAAUUUUUGUUGAAAAUUUUAUUUUGGGUUUGCUCCUGAAAAAUUCAUUUGAAGAAUUUUCUCAAAAUUCAAAAAUCCUAAAUGCAAUUUUGAAAAUUAAACAUGUGAUGAUGCAAAAAUUCAAAUUUGUUAAAAGCAAAUAUGCGGAUACAUACCAAUUUACCUGUUGGCGAAGGUCGCGUCAUUUAAAGUCCGAUGUGCAAGACUGUACCUCCUUCCGAUUUAGUUCAUGGAUUUUCCACCCGUCUCUGCAGGUGAUGGAGUGGGCGUCUUCGGCUUCUCCCUCCACACCUUCUUUGUUUUAGGUGCGGACGGCAGCUUCUUCUGAGCCGACUGCUCUAGCUGUUUGGCCGGCACGGGUGGUUUUACCGGCGUCCUCCAAUAACGGUUGCUGGGCAUCGUUGUUUCCUUCUCCAAGAAAUUCUGCAUGAAUUUCACCAGGCUGUCCGUUUUGGGUGGCUCCACUUCGACCUCUUGAAUAUUUUGCAGGUUCGGUCCGUACUUUAUUCUAACCUUGGAGCAUUGUUCCGUCCUCGGUUGAAACUCAAACUUUUCCUCCUUUCCGUUGAUAUGGAAACGGAUACUCCCCGUUCCCACGUCAAUAUUGGCUCCCGCGGUGCUGAGGAACGGACGCCCUAGGAUGAGAAGCGUCUCCUUUCCCGUCUCCAUGUCCAGCACCACGAAAUCAACUGGGAUGAAGAAAUCCCGUAUCUUGACUGGCACAUCUUCCGCUAUUCCUGCCGGGUAAUGGACUGACGAGCCAGCCAGUUGUAGGCGCAUCGGUGUUGGUGCCAACACCGUGAAGUUGAGCUUGUCGAAAACGUCUUUUGGCAUGACGCUGACGCUGACUCCAAGGUCACACAAGGCCUGGACGAAUUGCUAUACCCCGAUCGAGCAGGUGAUCGUGGGACAUCCCGGAUCCUUCUUCUUUUCUGGGAGCUUGUGGAGUAUCACGUUGCUGCAUUGUUCCGUUAGCUUGACCACCUCCAUUGUUGGGAGCGGUCUCUUGUUGUUGAGUAUAUCCUUUAGAUAACGAGCGUAUAUUGGCACUUGCAUGGCGUCCAACAACGGCAUGUUGAUGUGGAUCUUCUGGAUUACUUCAACAAAAUGAGCGAAUUGCUCAUCCACUGAUGGUUUCCUACUUCGUUCAUGGAAUGGCAGCAACCCGCGUGUCGCAGUACUCCUGCGGCACUGUCUUUUCUGGCUGAACUUCCUUGUCAGCCGAGUCAUUGGAUGGUGCUUCUUUUGAUAUCCCAUUACUUCCUGCAGGGUUAGGAUACGGCGGAUCACGAGUGGACUUACCUCCUCUCGUUGUGAUCACCUUAACAUUUUCGAUGGAGGAGUCGGGUUGCCCCGGAAUCCUUCCAGUUUCAUAUGCAGGGACUAAGGAUGCUAGCUGAGCUAACUGGGUUUCUAUCAUUUUAUUGAAGCUCAGCUGAUUUUGAAAAGCAGAAGCAAAGCCAUCUAGCUUGACAUUUAUGUUCUCUAGGACCUUAUCAAUGGCAGCAAGCUUCCUGCUUAGCGUAUCAGUGGUUUUAGCUUGUGCAAAAACAAGAUCCUUUAAGGAGGGCUGGUUAGAGAAGUUACCGUUAUUGUUACCUCCUAGAUAAUAUGGGCGUGGUUGGUUCCACCCUUGACCUCCUUGUGGACGAUACCCGUUAUUGUUCUUGACCUCCUUGUGGACGAUACCCGUUAUUGUUGUUGCCCAUGUACAUCGCCUCCUCACGGGUUUCCGUGCAGUCAUUCCCAGAAUGACCCGUGUUGCCGCAGACCUCACAUAUGACGUGAGAGUCCAAGGCCUUGACGGUGCCUUGUGGCCGUUUCUCAUGGUUGUCCAACAGUUUCAUUAUGAGGUCCAGCUUGGCAGCAAGUAGUUCCGUCUCCUUGACGGUGUGCAUGCCUCGCUGACGGGUCUGGAGUCAUUCCUCGCUCCAACCCAUAUUGGAGACCAUCUACUCUGUCAGAUCAACAGCUCCUUGAACAGUUUUAGAGAAGAAAGCUCCUCCAGCUGCCGCGUCCAGGUGAGUCCAUUGUAAAAUUUCUGCAAGAUCAGCUAGUCGUCCAUCCCAUGAUGAGGACAGGCGGCCACAUAUUCUUGUAGACGUUCCCACGCUUCAGGAAUAGACUCAUCCCUUGUCUCCUAGAAACUUGAAAUCCUUCCACGAAGGGCAUUGGUUUUGCCCAUCGGGAAGAACUUCGAGAGGAAUGCCGUAGAGCAUUUAUCCUAGGUGUUGACAGCAGCACGGUUGGCAUAGAACCACUGCUUCGCUCUCCCGAGAAGGGAGAACGGAAACAGUCGUAGCCUGACGGUGUCGGGACUGACGCCCUUGAUGGUGUACGUGCUACAAAUCUCCAGGAAUUGUUGCAGAUGAGCGUUGGCAUCCUCAUUAGGCUUGCCACAGAACGGGCUAGCCUGCGCCAUUGUGAUGAGGCUGGACUUCAAGUCGAAAUCCACGUCUCCCAUGUUGAUCUGUGGCCCAAUGGCCACAUUGUCAGCAGAGGGAGCAGUGAACUCAUGGAGAGUCUUGCUAGCCAUAGUCUUGAAAGUCGGUGGCGCUGGUAUGGCUGGUUUCUCUGUCGGUAGAGUUUUCUGCGAAGCAACGACUCGCGGUCUGACGCUCCAGAAGAAAGCUUCCGGAUUUUCUUUGAAGUUUUCCGGCAAGUUGAAACCAGUCAUGCACUACCCUAUUUUCACAACAAAAGUGAAAACAACCAAGGUCUGCAAAGGAAAAUGAUUAUACAGAGGCAAAUAUAAAAUAUUAGUUCAAGUAAUCUCUAUUAUGAAUCUUCCCCGGCAACGGCGCCAGAAAUGCUUGUUGGUAUUUCUUAAUGACAUUACUAGAAAUAUAAUCCCCAGCAACGGCGCCAGAAAUGCUUGUUGGUAUUUCUUAACUACAUUACUAGAAAUAUAAUUCCCAGCAAUGGCGCAGAAAUACUUCUGGUAUAUUAUGGUUAUAGAGUUCAUCCGCAAGCGCACGGAUAUACCAUUGUAUCAUUUCACCCAAGAGUAUUCCAAGGGUAUCGUAUUUAUUUUAUCCAUUGGGAAGAUCAUGUAGAGAUAACUUGACUAAUAAUUUAUAUAUUGCUUGUGAUAAUCAUAUUCUAAGCAAGGGUUAAGACAAUCCAAGGGUAGAGUGACACACAAGCAUUAACUACUCAAUCUCAUAAUAUAUUAUCUAAGCUAAGUGGAAAGAAAAGAGAAAGAUAAUCUAUUCCUAUACUUCUAAUAUACAUAGUAUACAUGCAUCCUAGUUAACUGAUAUACUAGCUAAUACCCUCUUUCCGAUGCCCUCCUGGUACUUCGAGAAGCCACCCCUGACUGCCGAGUUCCUUACGACAGCCCGUCAUGACCAUAUAACCGGGGCUAAAUACGGAGGAAUACCCUCCCCAGGGAAUUAACUUAGGAUUAUAUAUAGGCACGGAGGAAUACCCGUACUGAGCUAUCACCAACAGUGGCCCACCUCUCAUCCGUAAUAUAUAACCCCAAAUAAUGAUAUCCCGUAAUCUAGACACCACGUCUAAACUACUAGAUACUACUCUAAUAUCAUCGUGAUGACAUAGAGUAAUUGCAUAAACAAACAUUAUACCCGCACCAAAGCAUCUCCCAGAUAAGCUGGCCGUAUAUUCAGUAUAACAAGAACAUAAUGUAAAAUAGGUACUCAUAUACUCGGAAAGUAUUUCAAUACCAUAAAUGCAUUUAGAAGAGUAUUCUAAUAAAAGUACAAAGCUUACAAAAGAGGAAAGGAAAGCUGCUAGAGCCAUACCUGAACUCUUCCGAAGGCUUCCGGACUCCGAUUUCUACUCUAUUCCUAUUCCACCAGCUAGAUACUACUAAACUAAGCUUGAGAGAAAUGAGAGAGCUAAUUGCUUGAGGUGUGUGAGUGAAGUGAGGAGGUGAAGUCCUUAUAUAGGCAGGUAAUGACGGUUGUGACGAUUGGAAUAGUCGGUAAUACCCUGCAACCGUCAUUGGGGAGUGAUCCACGCCGUUUAGAAGAAACCCUGCAUCCAGCGGCGAUGAGAUGGGUUCGGCCGAAUCACCAGGUUCGGCCGAACCUGGGGUCAGCCCAAUCCAGCCCAAUUUCGGCUGGUGUCCUCCUGCAUUGUUCAUCUCCGCAGACUUUUGAAUUUUGGCCCAAUUCAUCAUGUCAGUUCUGAGUUCUUGGCCCACUUAUUCAUAAGUCUGGUUCUCGACAUCGUCCGAUUGAUUUAUCAUUUACGUUCAUGUAGAUUCUCCUUCACUUUAUUGUCAUUCUCUGCAAAAGGUUAGUAAACAUAAUACUAGUGGAAUAUUAUUACUCUAACACAUUUAUGCAUUGCAAGCAUCACUAGUUCUCCCCUAUUUUGGUAAUAUUGACCGUCGAAACUGAUCGAUAACGACCGUCAACAGAGUCGUGCCGGCUAGGUGAAGACUCGGCCUUCAGCUUGCGGUGUAGCCCACAGGCGUAUAGAGCCUCCCUAUAGGGGUGGUGGAGUUGUGCCGGCUGGUUGAGGACGCAGCCCCCGGCUUGCGGCACAUCCCCCAGGCUUGUAGGGCCCGCCUAGGGGCGGUGGAGUCGUGCCGGCCAGGUGAAGAAGCAGCCUCCAGCAUGCGGUGCAGCCCCCAGGCAUAUAGAUCCUGUCUAGGGGUGGUGUGGUCAUGCCGGCUGGUUAAGGACAUAGCCCCCGGCUUGCUGCGCAGCCCCCAGGCGUGUAGGGCCUACCCAGGGGUGGAGGAGUCGUGCCGGCCUGGUGAAGACUCAGCCUCCGGCUUGUGGCGCAGCCCCCAGGCAUAUAGAGCCUGCCUAGGGUUGGUGGAAUCGUGCCGACUGGUUGAGGACGCAGCCCCCGACUUGCGGCGCAGCCCCCAGGCGUAUAGAGCUUGCCUAGGGCCAAUGGACACAAAGGGUGUGUUUCGAGUUGGAGCCCAUGAUGAAUUGAUCAAAGUGUAAUGUUUCUUUCAUAUCACUAAGGAGCUUACACAAAAAACUGACGAAGAUGCUCUAUGUUCCAUGAGUUGGUGAUGUCUUCCCCCUCCAUGGUCGCUAGUCGGUAGGAUCCUGGGCGAAUGACGGUGGUGACCCUGUAUGGCGCUUCCCACGGUGGCGAUAGCUUGUGUUGAUCUCUGGUGGUUUGCACUUGGCGCAGGACUAGGUCGCCAACCGAGAAUGAGCGGUCGUGAACAUUGCGACUAUGGGAGCUGCUGAUAUCGAGCCGACUCAUUGAUUGCGGCUUCUCGCUCCUCUUCUUGCUGAAUGUUGUCUUUCUGUGCCACCUUCUCGGCUUUGCAUUCAUCAUAGUGGCGAACAUGGUGAGAGCUGAGUGACAACCCGGUGGGGAGGACUGUUUCUGCUCUGUAGCACAAAAAGCUCGGGGUCUGCACCGUAGCUCGACUUGGUGUAGUACGUGACCACAAAACUGAUGGAAGUUCUUGUACCCAUUUGCCAGCCUAGGGCUUUAGUGGUCGAAGAUCCAUGUCUUGAUGCCUUGCAACACCAUGCCGUUGGCGCGCUCCACUUGGCCAUUGCCUGCCGGGUGCACGACGGAUGCAUAGCAGAUUUUGAUGCCAAGCUCUUCUUAAUAUUCUUGGAAUACGGAGCCGGUGAACUGAGUGCCAUUGUCAGUAAUGAUACGGUUGGGUACUCCAAAGCGGUAGACUACCCCUUCAUGAAUUCCUUGGCGUUGGCAGCAGUGAUCUUGACGACCUGCUUUGCCUCUAUGCAUUUACUGAACUUGUCGAUGCAGACGAACAAGUGGGUGAUUCCACCUGGAGCUUUCUUGAAGGGGCCGACCAUAUCGAGGCCCCAUACUGCGAAUGACCAAGAAAUUGGGAUCGUUUGGAGUUCAUUGGCCGGCACGUUGGUGUUGUGGGCGAAGAAUUGGCAUCCCUUACAGGUGUAGACGACUUUUUUGGCAUCUGUGACCACGGUCUGCCAGAAGAAUCCUUGACAGUAGGCCUUUCCGAGGAGUGUAUUGGAGGCGGCGUGAUUGUCGCAUAUACCCGAGUGGCUCUCGGUCAGCAAGUCUCUCCCUUCUUCUUAUCAUAUUCAUUUCAUGAGGAUCCCCAUGGUUCCCCAGAAGUAUAAUUCGCCAUCGACAAUGGAGUAGUAUUUGGAUUGUCUUGAAAUUUUCUUGGCGAGGGGUCUGUCAGAGGGCAGAACACCGUCUCUAAUGUAUGUGGGCAGCGGGACCUGCUAGUCAUCAGAGACGGCGAGUACCUGAGGUGUUGUAGUCUUGCCCUUGUCGAUGGACGGCUUGCCGAGUCGCUCGAGGAAGACACUGGGUGGGACCGGCUCCCAUCUGGAUCCAAUGCGGGAGAGUGUGUCAGCCUCGGCAUUGUCAUUCGGCUGAUGUGAGUGAGCUCGAGGCCAUCGAACUUGUCCUCUAACUUGCGGACCUCCUGGCAAUAAGACACCAUCUUGUCGUCAGAGCAAUGCUAGUCCUUCACUUGGGAGACAACGAGCUGAGAGUCGUCUUUGGUCAUUACCCGGCGGAUGCCUAGGGCAAUGGCGAUGCGCAAGCCAUGUAGAAGAGCUUCAUACUCGGCAUCAUUGUUGGAAGCAGGGAAGUGGAGCUGGAGGACGUAGCGUAGUUUUUCUCUCUUGGGUGAUGUCAACACAGCGCCUGAGCUGGCACCUGACGCCAUGAACGAUCCGUCGAAAAAGAGCUGCCAGUGCGCCGAGUCAGGCUUGUCGCCCGGCUGCUGUUCUUCCGUCCACUUGGCGAUUAAGUCAGCCAGGACCUGAGACUUGAUGGCCACCCUUGGUUGAAAAGAGGUGUCGAUGGCUAUCAACUCAAGUGCCCACUUGGCAAUGCCACCGGUGGCCUCCUUGUUGAACGUGAUGUCCUUCAGUGGGAGUGUGGUGACGAUCGAUAUUAGAUGAGCUUGAAGGUAGUGACUGAGCUUGCAGGCGGUGAUGAAUAUGGCGUACAACAUCUUCUGGAUUUGAGUGUAUCUUGUCUUCGAGUCGGUGAGGACCUCGCUGAUGAAGUAGACCGGGCGCUGGAUUUUUUGACCAGCACCGUGCUUACCACAUGUGUGGUCGCUGCGAUAUAAAGGAGAAUCAGCUCUUGGGGGAGCAGCGCCGUGAGCACUGGUGGGCUGGUGAGGAAACGCUUGAAGUCGUUGAAGGCGGAUUGAGCUUCGUCGUUCCAGGUGAAAUUGUCAGUCUUCUUGAGCAAUUUGAAGAAUGGCAUGCCGUGCUCGCCCAGCCUUGAAGUGAAGCAACUGAGCGAGGCCAUACACCCUGUCUGCUUCUGUAGUUCCCUCUGGUUGGCACGCGGCUACAUGGAGUGAAUUGCCGCUAUUUUUCCUGGGUUGGCAUCGAUGCCGUGCCUUGAGAUCAUGAAGCCAAGUAGCUUUCCCGACGACACGCCGAAAGUGCACUUCUCGAGUUUAAGCUUGAACUUGAAGGCGCAAAGGUUGUUGAAGGUUUCCUCCAGGUCGGUGAUGAAAUCCUCGUGCGCCCGGGUCUUGAUGACGACGUCAUCGAUGUAGGCCUCCACGUUACGCCCGAGCUGGUCGUGUAGGCACCUCUGCAUUGUUCAUUGGUAGGUUGCUCCAGCGUUCUUGAGCCUGAAGGGUAUGGUGAUGUAGCAGUAGGCGCCAAACGGCGUGAUGAAGGAGGUCUUUAUGCAGUCAUCCUCUUUGAGGGCGAUCUGGUGGUAGCCCGAGUACACGUCGAGGAAGGAGAGCAGCUCGCACCCAGCCGUAGAGACCACUGCCUAGUCAAUGUGUGGGAGCCCGAAGGAGUCCUUGGGGCAAGCCCUGUUAAGAUCAGUAUAAUCAACGCACAUACACCAUUGCUUAUUUCUUUUUCUUACAAGAACAGGAUUGGCCAACCAAUCCGGGUGAUACACCUCCUUGAUGAAACCAGCAGCUAAGAGUUUUUAAAUUUCAUCCCUAAUUAUUUCGUUGCGGUCGACAGCGAAGCGACGAAGACGUUGCUUGAUUGGUUUGGCGUCUGGACGCACAUGCAAGGCGUGCUUGGCAACUUUCCUUGGGACACUAGGCAUGUCAGAAGGCUUCCAUGCGAAAAUGUCUUUGUUGGCCCAAGGAAGCUGACGAGCGCACUUUCCUAUUUGUCGCCCAACCCGGCGCCGAUGACCACCGUUUUCUCCAGAGUCAACGGGUCGAGGAUGAUCUUUUUGGUGGGUGCGUCGCAGGCACCCAUGGAGAGUUUUGGUGCUUUUGCCGCUGGGAACUCUGGUUCGCCGGGUGACUUGUUGGCGAUGUCAGUGGCGAUGGACUGCUGUUGCAGUGAAGCCUUGAUGGAUUGGGCCUUGUCGCAACUUUCCUUGUCGCACACGAAGGACUGCCUGAUGUCAGCCUGAAGUGAGAUGAUGCUGUUGGGGCUGGCAUCUUCAACAUGGCAUAGACGUACUGAGGGACGGCCAUGAAUUUUGCCAUGGCGGGCCUAUCGAAGAUGCCUUGGUAGGACGUUUCGAAGUCAGUGACCUCGGAGACCACGUUCUCUGUGCGGAAGUUGUCGAGGUUGCCGAAAGUGACCGGCAGAGUGACUUGUUUGAGUGGGGUCGAUGACGUGCCGGGGAUAAUGGCAUCGAAGGGCGAUUUUCUCGGGAGCAUGGAAUAUGGCAAACCCUUGUCCCUGAUGAAGUUGCAUUUAUCCCCCUAGUGGGUUUUAGUGAUUAAUGAUGAAUAAAGUUAAGGGACUAAUGUGUUUAUUGAGACAUUCAGGUAAUUAGUCCCAAGGUGAUCUUAGGUGAUCAAGAGAUGCUUGCAGACCCCUACAGCAUUCAUUCAAAGCGGAUUUGAAGCUCGAAGGUGUCACGACCGGAAAUAACCCAGCGGGCGUUCCUUACGUGCGUGUAUUAUUCCUUGUCCCAGGAGGCAACGUACACCAAAAGUUGAUACAAUUCAGAGUUUAACAAGCGGAAGCGUAAAUAGUUAAUUAUUACAUGGGCGACGAGGGCCCAGCACACUCAAAGACAACGAAAAACAGCGGAAGACUAGGGCGACGACCACAGGCGCUUGACGGCAGGCACGAGCUAAACACCAAAGCCUUCAUCAUCCAGGAGCUUCUCUUCUGGGUUUGGGAAAAAUUGAGUAAGACUAAGUACAACCACCGUACUCAACAAGACACACCCACAAGUGCAAUAUAAAUGCAAAGGAGUACAAUGGAGUUAUAGUAUAGGGGUUAGGGUUUGCAGUAAACAGCAUUUAAAAGACUCUUAGUUGCUCAAAGCUAAAUUUAAAACACGAUCCUAGAACUAUUUAGUAUUAUUAAACAAGGCCGUGAACCCACACGAACCUGCCUUAACCCAAGGCCUACGAUGAUUCAGACCAAACUGGCAACCCGACCCUGGGUCCCAGCUCGUCCCAAGCCAACCCAGGCCAACCAUUCCACAUUUUAGUUGUUAAGCAGGUUUUAAGAAUUAAAAACACUAACUUGGGUACAUUGCUAGGCUUGCCCAUAACUGAGGGCGCGGCUAUUCGAAUAGGUUUUACUCUGAUCAGAGGUGUACAUCUUUACCCACAAGACACGUCUUCCUCACGUGCAACCACGUGCCACAUACCACCACGGCAUAUGGACGGAAGACAUGACAUAGUUCCCAACCCAUCCUAGCCAUUGACAAGAGUACCGACCCAACCCCACCUACGGCCGGAACCUCCGGGACAGGUAGGCAGGACUGAGCCCCUUGCAGCAGGACACCAGCCCUGUGCUAUGAGAUCUCGACUACCGGGCCGCAGCUCGUGUAGCCUUCAUUUAUCCUAGAGAUGUCCAUCGACCCCCGACUUCGUCCAUCUCCAUCCGUGUACUUUUGUUUAUAACCAGACUGAGCCACAAACUAAGCCUUACCCACUAGACAUGUGGAAGUACGGUAGUGCUUUGCAACAGAGGCCCGAAGACCGGUCCUUAUGUGGCCGAGGUGCUACUAUCGAAACCAUGCACCCCGAGCCCAGCCUAAAACCAUUUUGAGGGUUUUGAAUAGAGGGGGAGGUGUGCAUCCAAUUCCACAAUAAUCCAACCAUUCCAAUAUGUUCAAGUGAUAUGAAUAUUACCAAAGUCUAAAGUUAUAAAAACCACCUAAUGUUGUCCUAUUAAUCAGCGAAGCAUCUACCUAAAUUCUUACUAGGGGAACCAUGAGUAGAGUGCCCACUAGCUAGGGUUUUGUUUAUUCUAGGGUGAACAAGGUAAUAAUAACAAUAACAAUAAUAAGGUCAUAACAAAGGUAAAUAGGCAUGGCUAAAUAAAACAGUGAUAACGCGGGAAUUUAAAUAAAGCGAUAAUGCAUUAAUUUAAAUCAAAAUAAUUUCACAAAGUGGGAUCCAAUAUGUUCAAAGAUGAUGUGACUUGCCUUGCUCGCUUUCCCAAACGCCGGCUUCAACCUCCACGAAGAGCGGAUCUUCCGAAGCUGCAGCAUCUACACGACCAACGGAAAAGAAAAGGGCUUUUACUAUAGUAAACUCCAUAUAACAAGCAGGAACAAAGCACAAAAAUGGGUUCUUGACUUGUUAAGGAAAAAUUAGAGACUUGAACGGUCCAAUUCCGAGUUCAAAUGGCCAAGUUAUGGCCAUUUGAAGUUUAUAUGCUCUUUUAAUGAACAUUUUCGAAUUUCUUCAUUUAAAUUUUAAUCAAAAAGAGAUUUAUUGCGUCAGCCGGGGGAGAGGGCGCGCGGACCGGGUCCAUGGGAGUGGGACCCACGCGGCAGCCUCACGGUCCACGGUGGACCGGGUGCACCCGGCUCACACCGGCCGGCGCCGUGGGCCCCACGCGUCAGCCGCACCCGAGGGAGCGGGCGGCUGACGGCCGGGCCCCACGCGGCAGCCGCUAGGCGCGCCAGGAGGCCGGCGGGAGGCGGCGCGCCCGCGCCCCUAUGAUCGCCGGCGGCGGCCAUAGGCACGGCGGAGCGGCGACCGAGAGAGGGGAGGGAAAGGGGGAAACGAAGCGGCAGUCCACGGCUCACCUCGGGUCGACGGCGACGACGGAAACGGCGACCGGAGCGGAGGAUGGCGGCGGCACGGCUCGGGUGGACGGGGUCGACGGUGCUCCGGCGGUCGGCGACCGAAACGGAGAGGUGGACGAGGUCGGCGAGGAUGCGCGAAGCCGAAGGAGCGCGCCGAGGUGGGAGGGGGUCCGGGCGACGACGGCGCGGACCGGUGCUCGCGCGACGGCGGAGAGAGAGAGCGACGCGCGAGCUCGAAUCCGGCGAGGAGGAAGGGCGGCAAGAGGCGGAAACGGACUGGAGAAGCGCGGGGAGGGUUUAAAUAGGGUUGGAAGGGGGAGAGGCGGCCGGCGGGGAAGGAAUAGGCGCGGGAGGUCCGGCCGCCAUCAAUGGCGCCGGCGAGAUUUGUGGGGGCAAAUCCGCCCGUUUGAAUGAGGGAGAGAGAAGGAAAAAUGGGGGGAAAGGGGGAGGGGAUCCCGGGGAAUAAUUCCCCCUACUUGCACACGGGGACGGCGGGAUGCAGCGGAAUCGGCGGCGGCGGCGGCGCUUGGCGCGGGUGGGGCGGCGGGAGCGGCGGGAGGAAGGGGAUGACGGGUGGGCCCCACCCGUCAGCGAGGGUGGCGGGCGGGCCCGCCCGUCAGCGGCGCGCUCGCGGGGAGGAGGCCGAGUGGGCCGCGGAGAGAGGAGAGAGAGGGGGAGGGAGAUGGGCCGAGGCGGCCCAAGAGGGGGAGGGAGGGUUUUUAGGGUUUUUCUUUUUAUAAAAUCAUUUCAACUUUGUUUAUUUCUUAUUAAUUAUUAUUUGUGCUCUGAAAAUUCCACUAAAAUUUAUUUACACAUUUUAGGCUUUUAGGAAAUAUACAAAAAACCUCCAAGCCUUAAUUGACUUUUAACUUUGCACAUUUUAAUUUUUGAAGGCUUUCACAAGGAUUUUAAUUAUUCUAGGCAUAAUUUAAAGGGUAUAUUUUAGGGUCGUUUUGGGACGCGACAGAAGGUCAAUAGGUUAGUUUAAUUUUUGAAAUCGAGUUUUAGGAAAAACCGUACUAUUAAGAGGAGUUUCAAGUGUGGUUUUGAGAUAUAAAAAGUGCUCUUAGUGGGUUCCUAGUGAUAAAAAAUUUUCUGGAGACAUUUUUCAAAUAGGUCCAGUCCGGAUAGAGAAGGCUGGCCGGAAGUUCCGGGUCCAGGGACUAGGUGUGAAAAAAUGCGAGUAACGGCUAGAUGACGUCACCUAGCCGUUAUAUAUAUCUAGAUCGCACCCAGCUUACUUUUUGGCCAUUUUCACUUCAGUUCUUUCACACCCUAGGUUGUUUUAGCCUCUCCCAAGAUCCCUUUGCUUCCUCCACUCAAAUCUAGAGCCUUUCUUGUGAGAUUGUCAGAAUAGAUGAGAGUGUAGGAGUGAUUUGGAGAUGCUUUGAAGACUAGGUGUGGUUGAGCACUUUGGAUAUCUUGUGGGCUGUCACUUGGGGCUUAUUACUCUUGGAGAUCAUCUCCUAGACGGUUAGGUGUCGCCUGCGAGCUUCCAAAGAUCUUGUGGAUAUCCCGGGAAAGUUUGUGAAGGUUUUCCUCACCUCCGCAAGGAAACAAGGUAAAUGAGUAAAGAUUCUUUUGCUGAGAUUUCAGAGGUUCUCCUCGGUAGAGCAACUUGCACUUGUGGUCUUUUCUAGAAGGAUUUGUGAGUUGGAUCUUGGUGGUCACUCAAAUUCUAGAAAAUGACCUAGGAGUGUUGAGUUGAAGGCCAAGGACUUCUUCUGGAUUCUUCGCACAGGUGAGGCAAGGGGUUAAUCGAGAGCCGGCUAUUGGGAGCACCUCAACGGAGAGUAGGAUCGAAAGAUCCGAACUUCGGGAAAAAAUCGCCCUUGUCUUCUCUGUGAUGAUUCUGUGCAUGCUGCUGUGAUUGUGUAUCUGCUCUGUCUUCCUGUAGUUUAUUUCGUGCAAUUUAGUUUAAGUGUCUGCUAAUUUACAGGUUUUUCUGUUGCUCGGAAGUUCCGGUGUUUAGAACACCAGAAGUUCCGGACAGUCUGAGCAGACUGGAACGUCCGGUGUUCCACAACCGGAAGUUCCGGUCCUGCUGAAUUUUACCGCUGCAAUUUGUUUGUGAAUUUCAGGAAAGCGUAUUCAACCCCCCUCCUCUAGGCUACAUCUUUGCGUGUUCACCUGAAAGUUUUGGAGAAUAGGAUGUUAAGGGCACUGCCGCCAUCGAUGAGCACCCUCUUGAGCCGCACUCCUUCCACGGAUCGGGUCGAGGAUGAGUGGGUAGCGCCCCGGGUGAGGCACAUGGUCGGGGUGAUCGGACCGAUCAAAAGUGAUGGGGGUCUCGGUCCACCUUAAGUAUUGCGGCGUGUCGGAGACAGUGAUGGGGGUCUCGGUCCACCUUAAGUAUUGCUUGCGGCGGGAUUCAUAUGCGUCAGGGCCGCCAUAGAUGUGGUUGUGCUCGGCAUGGGGACUCGGGAAGGUGGGCGAAUUGGCCUUGCCAUCGUCUUGAGGGUUGUCGCGUGGCUUUCCCCCCGAGUUACCCUUGUCGGCGAGCUGCUAGGGGUAUUGCGUGACUAGCCAGCAGGUUUUGGCAGCGUGCUUGAGCUCAGGGUGUUACGGGCAUGGGCCGUCCAUCAUCUUGUCGAAGUCGUCCUUCUUUGGUUGGCAGAAUUUGCGCUGGCUGCCACUACACUCGACGGCAUUGACCUCCUCCUCACUCUUGCACUUGAACGGCCUAUUGCGGGAGGAGUCGUUGUCACGGUGAGGCUGGUACGGCGGCCUCUUCUUGAUUUGUGAGUAGACCACGAGCUCGGAGUUGGCAUCUUUGUUGGUGCAGUCGAACAUUUGGCGAACGGUGAGGGCGGCGCUUCCGCCAAGUGAAGUCUUGCAGGCCCACCACUUGAUGAAGUCUUCGUUCUUGCAGCCUUGAUGAAAGGCAGUCAUCACUUCCUUGUCAGCAACGUGGGGAAUGGUAUUGCGCCACUCCGUGAAGCGGCGGAUGUAGUCGAAGAAGCUCUCGCCGUCACCCUAGAUGAUCUGGUAUAGAUCCUACUGAGUACCCGGGUGAGGAAAGGUACCCUGGAAGUUGGCGAUGAACUAGGCCUUCAAUUCGGACCAGCUGUUAAUGGUGUACUUCAGGAGUCCUAUCAGCCAUGCUCGGGUUGCUAUAGUCAACAUGACCGGCAAAUAGUUUGCCAUGACCAGCUAGUCGCAACCGGCAGCUUGGAUGGUGGUGGAGUAGACGGUGAGCCAUGCGCUGGGGUCCGUCUUGUUGUCAUAUUUGUCAAUCCCCAUGGGCUUGAAGUUGGCCGGCCAUCUGACUCGGCGUAGGUUGUUUGUGAUGGCCGGGAUGCCCUCAGCACCGUCAUCGCGAUGCAAGAGGGGAUCCGGCGAGUGGUCGCGGUAAUCAUGGUAUGGUCGGUGGACAACGAUGCAGCUGUCGGCUUGGAUGUCGGCAUGGCGGCAGCCGGUGUCGAGGUCAUCCUCGUUUAUCCGUAGCUGCUCGGCGUCACGGAGCUGGCAACACUCAUUCAUGACGUUGCGGAGAUCGGCGUCUAGCUUCGAUCUUGUCGCGCAAAUCACUUGUGCGCAGACUUGGGCGCGAGCUUCCUGCUUGGGACGCCUCGAUGUGCUUUGACCCGGCAUGUUGCUGUUGGGAUGGUCUGUUGCUGGAAGAACCGCCAACGAUGGAGGCAGUCGGCGCUACCUCAGCGUGCUGGAAGGUGGCCGCCUCCACCAUGGCUCUCACCUGAGCGAUAGUGGUGUUGAUGGCCGGGUCGUUUGGGACCUGGAUGUUGUCGAGGAGGGCCUUGGCGGUGAUCUUGUUGUUCUGAGGCAUGGUGAAUACAUCACGCUCUCCCAGCUUGGUCUGGAGGAUAGCGUCUUGGGCGGCGCAACCACGUUGUCGCAGCUCGUUCAAGCGCCGGUUGAGGUUGGAUGCGGCGCUCCUCCUCUCCUCAUCCGUCUCCUGAAAGGCGAUGAAGAUCUCUUGGGGCCGACGGCUUGAGGUCGGCGUGUUGUUGGAGCUCUCCGAGAUCGAGUCGGAUCUCUGAGUCACAAGGAACUCGACCCAGCGGGAUCUGAGUUCCCGGGGCAGCCGGGGGCGGUUGCGUUUGGAGCGGCCAUGGUGUCCCGGAUGUCGCGGGGGUGGUGAGGUGUCACGCCCAGAAAUUCACGAACCAGAAUUUCUAAGCUGAAUGUGUAUUAAACCCCUGUCCAGGACCAGCCAGGGUACACAAACGACAAUUAUUGACAUACAGAUCCAUGUCUUACAAAAAUAUAAAAGAUUACAAAUGCAGCGGAAAAGGUAAAGCGAGCUGAGCCUGAAGACUUGACUCCUGCAGCGGGCGAUUCCAUUCCACAGGCAACCCUUGACGGCAGCGACGAAACCAACCUCUUCAAGACAUCUCCAACUGAGAAGAACUUCAACUCUGGUGAGGGGGAAAAGAGAGCAAGACUGAGUACUACCCACUAUACUCAGCAAGUCAUACCGGAAGAGGGGGUAUGAUGCAGGGUAUAUCCAAGGGAGGCUAAAGGUUCUUUUGCAUAAAGCCGGCAUUUCAAAGCAGUAGUUGAAAGCAGUAAAACAGUAGUAGUAAUUAAUCCAUAUUAACCAAUCACUGUCCAACGUUACACCACGUUGCAACAGGCCCAAACCACCACCUGAACUAACCAGUUCCAAAAGCUAACUAGGGUGAAACUACUCACGGUGAAUCUGGUCGACCGCCCCUAACCGCGGGCACGGCUAUUCGAAUAGUUUUACUCUGAUCAGAGGUGUACAACUGUACCCACAAGACACAGCCCCACGACACGUUCCCGUGCGCCGACAUGCCACCACGACAUACCGGAAAGAGGCCGUGACAGGACCGUUCGCAUAACCCUCUCUAACCGAUCGCACCACACCUUAGGGUUCGCCCCCGUCCCCAGCAGGCAACGGGCAGCCCCCCCUUUCGUGCCACGGUGAAUCCGGAAGCCGAUCAACCGGACACCCCGGACGACCCAACUCCAUCACGCCCACCCUCGCCUGGGUACGUCGGCUAGAGAAAAGCUACACUACAAGCCCAGCCGUUGCCCACGCUGGCUUGUGGUAAGUACGAUAAGUUCUUCCAGGGCAUCCCGCGAACCGGUCCUUAAUCGCCAUGGGCACGUCUAGCAAAACCAUGCACCCACAGCCCACCAUGUAGUGUAUUUUAAUUAACCAACACCAUUGCGGUGGCACUAAUCCAAAGCUAUUGCUAAUAAUCAAAGUCUAUGCUUUAAUGUGACCCCCUUCUGUGCACUAGUUGAACUAAGCAUGGCUAAGCAUCUCCUAAACCAACAUCUAGUCAUUUUAAUACCCAAGUUAUCAAUGGCGUAAGGGAAACAACAUAUAGCUGAGUAAUAGGACCCAUCCCACAUGAUAUUGUAAAACAAUGCAAUAUUUAAUAAAAAUGCGGGAUAUUUGUAAAUUGGGUACAAUAUGAUCAAUUGUAUUGCAUGACUUGCCUUGCUCUCGCACUGAUGAGACCACAGCAACGUCUUCGAGAAUCCGCGAAUCGAUGAAACGGCCGAAAUCUACGCGACAAACAAAGCACACAAGCAAAACAUGCUAUAAGACUACUGAAACAGAGAGCAAAGCCAUUUUUAAUGGAUUCUAUACAUUUUUAUGAAUUUACUGAGACUUGAAUGGACUUAAUCGGAGCUCGGAUGAAUUAGUUAUGAUUUUUAGAAGAUUCUCUGUGUUUUUACUAUUAAAGAAAAGCCUUAAUCAAUUUAUUGCGCAAUAUUGCCCCAGGGCUGACGUCAGCAAGGGGUGGGGCGGCGCCGACAUGCGGGCCCCACUGGUCAGCGGCACUAAGAGAGGGAGAGGGGGCGGCUGGCAGGCGGGCCCACUGGGCAGUGUCACAAAAAAGGGGGGGGGGAAGACGGCCUGGCUCGGCUCGGCUUCAAGCCGGCCGGCCGGGUUAUGGCGAGGGCGGCGGCGCGCGCACGGAGGCAGCGGCGUAGCAAAGAGGGAGAGAGGAAGGGGCCCCGGUGCUCACCAAGGAGUCCGGCCGACGCGGAGGGAGGCGACGGCUAACGGCGACGAGGAGCCGACCGGCGAACCCUGAUGGACGACGGACGGGAAGCGGGAGGACCUAGAGAGAAGGUUGGGAGGGGUUAGAAGAGAGGGAGGUGGUUCCAUGGCGCACGACAUAGCCGAUCGAAGGCGCGCAUGUGAGCUCACGAGUGCGAGAGAUGCGAGCUCCGGCAAUGGAAUUGACGGAGAACAGCGACGAUGUUGACCUCUGGAUGCUGACGCCGCUGCGCCGAUUGCGGGGUGCUGCGGCGACCCUAGCAGCUGCUAGAGCCGCCCGAGCGUUGAGAUUGCCGCCGGCGGGUGGGUGCACAGUGCUAGGGCGAUAGGGAGCUCGGGAGCGGACGGCGAAAGAGGGAAAAAGGUGGACAGAGGCGCGGUGGUCGGUUAUAUAGAGGUGGGGAGGCCGGACGUGGCCCGGAGCGGUGGUUUCGCGGCGACGACGUGGAGAGGUGGAGGAGGAGAGAGAGGGGGAGAGGAUUCAAAUCGAAUCCCGUCCGUGCGGGCGCGCGCGCGGACGGGAGAGGGCAGGGCGUGGGGCGGCGACGUGGGGACGUGUGGGCGCGGAGUGGGGCGCGGAUGCGGAGGAAGCGGCGGCGUGGGCGGCGGUUUCAGCGGCGGAUGGUGGCAGCUGCCGGAGGUUAGGGACGACCGACAGGUGGGCCCCACCUGUCGGCGCUCGGGAGGAGAGGGGAGGUGGGAUGGACUUCGGGGAGGGGAGGUGAAGCGGGCCGGCACGGGAGGGAAUGGGCCGGGCCCAAGAGAAGGAAAAAGGAGGGAAAAGAAAAGAAGAAAGGAUUUUCCAGGGAUUUAUAUAUUGCACAUGCUCAUUUUUAAUUGGUUAAAAUUAUUUCCAAUGCUCUGAAAAUUCCACUAAAAAUCCUGUUAGCAUAUUUUGACAUGUAGAAUCCACAGAAAAAUUCCACAUGCCGAUUCCGAUGAUUAUUUGCAUUUAUUAACUAGGGAUUCAUCUCUAGGUUAAAUUAAACAAUUUCUUCGGGCGAUUUAUUUUAUGAAUUUAGAGCAAGGGAGGGGAACUUCAGGGCGUGACAUGAGGCGAUCGGACAGUCAUCGACGGGGUUGCCGGCCUGAAGUGCCCUUGCGGCGGUGGCGGCGAAGUUGCUGACUCCGAACAGCAUCCGCGGUGGGGUUGUCGGCGGCAGGAAAUCUGGCAAAGUUGGCCUGAGAACGCCGGCGCUGGUAGCGGUGAAGUCGAGGCUGCCGAAGGAGAACUUGGUUCCUGCAAGGAAGCGAUGGGCCAUGACUGGCCCGGCGUCAUGGCCAGACGACACCGGGACUUACCUGACCGAGCUUGUCGGAGUUGUCGGCAGCGAAGUCGAAUGCGCCGAAGGAAAAUUGGGUUGCGGUGGGGAAAGUGGUGGUAUUCGCGAUCUCAACGCCGAUGAAUGCCAUCUCCACGUUGAAAAUGAUCAAGCACCCCCUACCUGGCAUUCCAACUGUCGAUUUCUUGGAUCGGCAAUAUAUUUUAUGGGGUGUGCUAGAUCAAGGAAAGAUGGUGACACAGAUGAUUAUCCUGGUUCAGGCCCUCGGGAUGAGGUAAUACCCUACGUCCAGUGUGGAGGAUUAUCUCAGUGUCCAGUGGAAAAAUGGUCAAAAAAGUCUUCUUUAGGAUUGCCGCCGGCACCCUUUAUAUAGACCUAAGGCAGCCGACGCCAAUCAUGGCCCAGUAUCACUUAUAAUCCGGGUACUUGCCAAUUGUUACAAGACAAGGGAUAUGUUGCCUUAUCCCUUACUGCCUACCAUACAUACAACGCAUGCCGUACAGAGGAAUGGGCUCGCGGCCCACCCUAGACGAUGUGGUCCCAACCAAACCGUGAGGUACCCAGGUACCACAUACCCCACAUUUUCCAUUUUUCAUUUGUUUUUUUCACCAACACUGGGUUUGUCAACCAUUCUGGAUGCAUGACUUCUCUUAUAACUUUUUCUUUUACCAGCUUCUCAAGUUCAACUUUCGUGGCCUACUGCCUAUCUGAUGACAUUUUUCUCAGUUUUUGCUUUUUCGGUUUGUACUCUAGUUUGAUUUCUAAAUUGUGUUCAAUCGAGCUUCUAUCUACUCCUUGUAACUCCUCUGGUGACUAGGCAAAUACAUCCAUAUUGUCCUUUACAACCUUCAAAAUCUCUUCUUUAACAUGUCUUUCCAAGUUCUCACCCAGCAGAAUGUAUUUUCUAGGAUCGUGUUCAUCCAAUUGUACUUUCCUUGUUUUUCCUUCAGGGAUUGUUUUUUCCAUUUUUGAGUAUUCUCCAUGUUUCUGAUCAACUACAUGUACUCCGUUCACAUUUGGUGUUCCCUGGAGUUCGAACUUUCUUGCUGCUAGUUGGCCACCUCAAAUUGUUAUUACUCUCUUGGUCCUGGAAGUGUCAUGCAUAUGUAGUUGUGAUGUAUAUGCUCGAAACAUGAAUGUGACUUCGAGUAUGCAUGUAUGAUAUGCAUAUCGACUACAUCAGACCUAUUCUCUUUCUCAUAUAUCACUUUACAAACUACUGCAGAAUUUUCGAUGCAUUACUUUUUCACAGUUGAAGAACCUGCAUGCACUGUCUUCGAUGCAUUCUGAUGCGUCAUAAAAGCACAUAUGCUAACUCUCAUCAUCCACACUCUUUGCACUCACACAGUGCUAUUUCACAAGACUACAAAGGAUCUGAUGUGGAAAAAACACUCCCACUGCAUCUUCUAGGCCAAAAGAGAUCACUGUGUUUGAGUAAGCUGGUGGAUUUGACUGAUGGCUUGUUCCCACAUGAUUUAUUUGUCUUAUCAUUGUCUUUUAGACUUAAUGCUCAAUGAUGAGCCCCCUGUUAUUGCAUUGAUCACCCUUUUUAGUGCUUCCUCAAUUGCUUCUAUUUUCAUGACUUGUGGUGCUUCUAUAGCAUUCUGCCCUCGUUGGUCACGAGCUCCUUCAUACUUGUUCUCAUAUUGGCUGAUUUGUUUUUCUAACAGUAAGUCAUUUGCCUGCAUUCUUUUGUAGAAUGGCCUCAUGGACAAUGUAUUUGGCAAAACUUUCUAUAGCAUUUUUCUGUAGAAUGGCCUCCUGGACCAUGUGUUCGACAGAAUUUGUUGUAUUCUAUUUGAUUUUCUCUUCCUUUGCCUCUUGCAUUGUUCUAUCAUCUUCCUCUUUCUCUGCCAGAAUUCCACCAUUGGCCUCAACCUCGUCCGGAUUGCCCCCAAUGAUUUCUUCCUCUUCGGGAGUUUUCCCAUUUGUAUUUUCCUUUUCCAUCCUAUUGGAAAAAUCCUUCUCCAUUGCUUUAGCCAUCUCCAAGGAAGUUUACUUAUUUUUCCUAUUCAUGCUUGUAGUCUUGUUUGAACUUUUUCCAUGGCUUGUCAGAAUUUUCUCCCUUUUGUUCAUCCCCCUGGGAAACUUGCUUGUUCUUUGGUUGCUUCUUACCCAACAAAGCUGCUUCUUCGGCUUGUAGUCUCAGCUCGUCUUCUUCUCCUCUUGUAAAACUCUCAAUAUUUUCAAACAAGUCUUUUGUUGUUUUUGACCUAUUUCUUACAAGAUAAAAAUGCAGAGGUCCGGGUUACAAAGCCCUUUUUACCGCUGCUAUAAGCAUUUCAUCAUCUACUUGUUUUAUCUGGCAUCUUACUCUUGAAAAUUUUACAAUGAAACUCCUCAAAGUCUCACCUAGCAGCUGUUUCAUAGCAUACAAAUUAUCUACCUCUUUUGGUUCUUCAUAUGCCCCAAUGAAUCCUGCACGAAAAGUAUCUCUCAUGUGCUCCCAUGAGUAGAUUGUCAUGGGGGGAAUUGUACCAUGACAAUGCCAUUCCUUCUAACAUGAUUGGAAGAAUUUUGGCUUUUGCCGUGUUAUCUCCUCUUGCUGCUUCAAUUGCUGUUUUAUAUACUCGCAGGUACUUAUUGGGAUUUGUAUCUCUAUUGUAUUUUGUGAUGUUUGAUAUUUUGAAGUGUACUGACUAGGGUGCCAUUUGUAGGUUUUGACUAAAGGGGCUUUUGGUAUCUAUUGCUUGUGUUGGCUGAAAAUAGGGUUGUGUUGAUGGAAAUUGAACCACUUGGUUUGGGAUUUGGCCUGUGUACUGCCUGGUGUUUGGGUUGGGCAUUUGCAGUAUGUAGCAUUGUUCAUAUGUUGCGUCUGGUUGCUAUAUAUGAAAAGGGAAAAAACAUGAGGGUGCUGAUUAGACUUUUGGAUUGUCUGGGUAUGUGGUGCUUGCACAUGUGGAAUAUUGGUUUGAGAUGUUUGAAUUUGGGGUAUUUGGAUCAGGGGGAUUUGCACUUGUGGUAUAUGGCUUUGUGGAAUUUGCACAUGAGGUAUAUGGUUUUGUGGAAUUUGCACAUGAGGUGAAUGGGUUUGGGGAAUUUGCAUGUCAGGCAUGUGGGUUUGGGGGUUUUGGAUUUAGGGAAGUUGAGUUUGAGGGAUUUGGAUUUGAUGAAGUUGAGUUUGUGGACUUUGGGUUCGAGGAAGUUGAGUUUGAGGGAUUUGGGUUUGGUGAAACUGAGUUUGAGGGUUUUGGGUUUGGGAAGUUUCUUGUGUUGUUAUGGUAGUUUGGUUAUUUUCUGUUUGAACAUUCCUUCCCUGAGUGUUUCCCUCUUGAGUGUUUUCUUCUUGAGUGUUUUCCUCUACUUGAUCUGGUCGAGUUACACUAGUCCAUUGUUUCUGUCUGGCCACCUGAUCCACCUGUCCCCAUUGCUUGAUUAUGCAAAGCCUGUAGCCUUUGCAAUUCUUUUUGCAACUCAUCAUGCUGUUCUCGGCUCACCAUGACAGCCCCUUGUGCUUAUACCAUUUCAGCAAGUUCUACCUCACUUGGAGAUGUCCUCCUCGUUUCCUCCCUUGUUGGGUCAGUGAUUCUUUCCUCAUGUCCUGUUCUAUUCACCUCAACUUCGGUGGCCGUGCUCACAAAAGUGUCCUUGUAUCGAACAGGCCCGGUCUUUUGCCAUUGAGAACAUCGCAUUUACUGUUCAAGCCCACUCCUUGGAGACUUUACGUCCCCACGGACAGCGCCACUGUUGUGACCUUAGGCCACGGAUAAGUUCAGGGAUAGGAGAGAAAGUACGUUUCCCCCGCCUAUCCUAAGAAUGAGCUCGAACACAAAAUACACGGUAUUAGCAAUUGAUAUUUCUCUAUUAAAUUAUAUCUUGUCUUGCUACAGGAUUUUGGCCGGCUUAUAUAUCCCACAGCCGUACAUGUUAGGUUACAAUCUUACCCCUAUAUCUCUUGUGAGCUUACCAUAAUGCCCUUGCCAUGUCAGCAACCCUAGGGGCAUUUUGAAGGUGUUUAUGGUCUUUUGGUGCCAGCUGGCAGUGGUGGUUGAGUGUAGUCCCCAUGCAAUCUUUUUAUGGUAUCUUCCUUGCUCAUGUAGUGUUUUCCCUCAAGUUCCGCGGUUGAACAUCUUUUCCAUCUUCAGAGUUCAAACACUCCUUUUCACCUGCUAGGCUCUUGGAAUUUACCUGUCACAAGUAAAAGUCCACUCAAGCGGGAUAAGCUGCUCAAGUGUCACAAAAUCAUUCGAAUGGAACUUUACCAGUCGGAUAGUAUUUUUCCCAAUUACAAGUCUUUUCCAAGUUGGACAAUUAGGAUUCUCAAGACCUCAUUUCCCUCGGUGUUUUGACCGAAUGGGGAGGAUGGUGUUUACCCCUUGCUACAACACUCAAGUCUCCAAAAUAUGUAAGUUCAUCUAGAGUCAAAAAUCCAAAUUAAUCUAAAACAAUUCAUUUGUGGUGAAAUCAAUAAUUCAAAUUCAGGUGAAAUAUUUGAAUUCCUAAAAUUCAAAAGUCCAAAGCUACAGCACUACAAUUCCAUUCAAAUUCCAAUCCCAACCAUUUUGCAGAUUAGCCCCUCCAUCUUCUCUUUUCCUUUCCUUCCUUUUCUUUUCUUUUCUAGCUGGUACUGUUCAUUGCCCAGUACCUAUUCGACCUGGGCCUACAACCUUCCAGGCCGAAGCCGCAGUACCAGCAGAACAUGCCCAGCCCGUGCGCUCCUCUUAGGUGCAUCGCGACCCUAGCCAACCAUGCCCCUCUCUAUGCACCCAACCCAUCCCUGAUCCCACGCGUGCCCGCAUUGCGUCCAUGCCACGUGCGCCGCUUCCAUGUGCUGCAUCACGCCAUGCCACACCACGACAAAAUCUGCGCUCUCUCGUUCCGGUUUCUAUCCGGGUGACACGGCGCAAUGCCGCUCCAUCGUCACCUCUAUCGCGUAGACUGGCAACCCUAGCCCAACGCCAUCACCCAUAGCACAUCAUACGUCACCUUGCCACCGAAGGAUAAUGGCCACCAUGACUUACCAUCGUCACCAUGUUGCGCCGCAUCCACUAGGUAGAACCAUGCAUCCCUAGCCGAGCCCUGCAUCCCUUCGCCGCGUCUCCACGCCUAGCCACAACACAGUCCGUCGCCAUCGCCGUGACUCCACGCAGCGCAUACGUCCCAUCACCCCGCGUCACGCCCGGUGGGUAAAAUGACGCAUCUCCUUGCCGGCUAGCUUCGAGACCUGCACCCCUACCACCGCCAUAAUUCUGAUUGAUCCCUAAAUCCCCGAGAGUGUGAAUUGGAGAUCUAGGUCUCGUCAACCUCGGAUUCACUCUUAUCAAUUCGCCAAUGCAAGCCAACUCACUUCUCUCCCCUAUUUAUACCAUCCCUGAGCUCGGCCUUAUCGAUCCCUCUUCUUCCUCAAAGAAACCGUGUGGGGCGCCGCCUAGCCAUGGGUCGAACACCUGCGAGGUGUGGGCUGCACCGCCACUGCAAGACACGUUGGUGGAGUUGGAGGUUGGAGGGGGUGGAAGCAGGGUCCUGCCACUGUCGCUGCGGUUGGAGGAGGCCAGGAGCCGUUGGACGCCAAGGACCAGGCGCGGAACACCAUUGGGCGUUGCUGCCGCUAUCUGCCUCUGCACCAUCCGCACUGCACCACGAGCCGCCGCACUUCGCCAUUGCUUCACUCCGUGGGAAGCCCUCGCGCCCGACGCGACCCCCUAGUGACCUAGAAACCAGCGGCACCUCAAUUUGAGGCACCUGCUGCCAUAGCCUUACCGGCCGGGCUGCCAUUGUACCGCCGCCGAGCUCCCCUCGUGUGGGAUCGUCCAUAGAGAGAAUAAGCCCCAUUAUUGUGAAAUCGUCACCUAUAGGGACCCUAGAACGUGUACGAGGAACCGGCUGCAAGCCUACGGUAGCUUCUGUCGUGCAUGGCCGAGCUCGUCGUGAUCUCAGUGCCAGUCUGAUCCGCCGCACCGUGCCCCGUGAAGCCGCCCUGCGUCGUCGGCAGCGGCGGUGGGCCGUAGAGGUGUGCCACCGCCCGUCCCACCGUGGCGCCAACCGCGCAUGACGCACCUGCUCCGCUCGGUUGCGAGUGUGAGGAGGAAGAAGAAGGGGAAAAAAGAGAGAGAAAGGUGGCUCCCACACGUAGAUUAGCGCACAGUAACCACCUUGUUAAUUGCGGAUAAGUGAGUCUAUGAUUAGUUUGUGUUGCUUUAUGUUAAAUUGGUGUGUUUUAGUGGUUUCAUUAGAUUGUGAAUGCUUUUGAAUGAUUUGGUGUAAUAAUUGGCUGUACCUCAGUGAGAAAAGGCCAGAAGAAAUUCUAUUAUAAAAAAAAAAUGAUGCGUGGGUCCACGUGAUUAAAAAUCUAACUAAAAUCAGUUAUACGUGUACAGUCUAUGACAUGUGGUACCCAUCAGUGAUUAAAGGGCCGGUUUUGACCCUUGGUCAACCAGGGCCGUUCCCACCUGUCAUUGGGUCCACAUAAUUUUCCUUAGAGAAAUAAUUUGGUAAAUCAAAUAAUAAAACCAUUGACCCCACCUGUCAGUGGCUCAUAAGGAUUUCCUUUAGAGAAAUAAAUCGGCAGAAAAGGAAUAAAAACUCCUGGUCCCACCAGUCUGCCACUAUAGGUUAUGGAUAAUGUUUCGGAAUAACAAUAAAUCAAUUAGUAACAGUGCUGUUUCGCAAUUAUUGAAAUUAAUUCAAAAUUGGAUCUUCAAAUAAUCAUAACAUUUUCAUUUUAGCUCCGAUUUGAGUGAAACUUGAACCUAAAUUCAUAAAAAUUCAUGAGAUUCACAACGGUAUAUAAUUCAUUAUUUAAUAAAAUAUAUUUUAUAUUUAUAAAAUGACUAAUAUCAAAUGAUUAAAUAAUGGUUGACCUAAAAAUGUGGUAAUAAAUAAAAUUUAUAUUGUACAGUAAACUAUGUAGGGGAAUAUUUGUCUUUGACCUGUUUUAUCACGAUGGAAACCAUGUAAACUAAUUAGAAGUUUUGUUUCAAAUAAUUAAAGCAUAGGAAAUACUAAAUGUUAUUGUUUUUCUAUGACCCUAUAUGUAGUUAGAUCCAUGACUUAUAAAUUAUCUAAAUAAAUUUUAGCCUUAUAAUUGUGUAAAUAAAAUAGGAAAACACAUAGAUCAACCCUAAGCUUGCUUAGGAGAAAUAAUAACAGAACUAGUGUGAUUAAAUCACCUACACAAAAUUAAUUAACGACAUCCUAUAUAAUAGUAUAUGUUUAAGUUGGUAAUCAACCCUUAUGUUAAUAGACAGUAACCACCGCAUGAACCCACCUAGAUCACAUAUAUUGUACGGCUUGUAGUAAGAAGCACAUGUUUAAUAAAUAACAAAACCUUAAUAUAUUCUUGAACAUGUCAAACUUAGGAUAAAUUGAUACAUUUAUAUGUUAACAGAUAUUGAUAAACCGUGGCAUCUCAUGCAUAAUUUUAGCUUUAGAUCAUUCGUGAAUAAAACUAUAACAUAUGAUGAUCCCUCAACUGAAAAGGACACUAACCUACCCUACAGAGCAUGGUAAUUCAUUAGAACAGUUAUACAGUAAUAUUUGUAGGGCCAUGCCUAGAUAAUCCAUCCUAUUAAAACUACUGUAAUGAUUAAAUUAUCUACUGAGCCUUGGUGAACCUCCUGUAAGGCAUCACCAUUUAAUUUAGAUCAAGGCUAGUUUAACCAUGAAGUCCCCAUAGCCCAUAGUUAAACAAACCUAUGCUAACAGCAUGAGCCUAUUGAUUGCUGGUUAGCCCAAAUUAAAACACUAUGGCAACUUAAAAUAUUAAUCCUUAGAUUCUAGUUGCCUUUGCUUCCUAAGUUGCCUAGCUACCAAGAAACCUUAGCCCAUACCAUGGUGGAAUCCAUUAGCAAGCCAAAGUAGUAUGAGCAGCCCAAGGUAUGUUUGCACAUAUUUGAUUGUUGUUUGAAUAUUGGUUUUUCUUGCAUAUUAUAGAAUAUGUUUAUCGGUUAGUCAUGAGGCAACAUGUGUAACAUCCACGAGGUGGAGGUUGAUCAAGAUUAUAUAAGAAUAAGGACUAUCCUGAGGAUCCCAAAUGCGAAAUUAAUUUGUUUACAAAUAAAUUUGCAUGCAAUGAUGAAUAUCCUGCUUGUUAUUAUGCCAUGCCUUUGACUAUUGUUUAUAUUAAACAAGUGAGAGAACCAUGCAUAUCUAAUUAAAAAGAUAAAUUUGUUCCACAUAUUAUAAUAAGCAAUCUCACAAUUAAAUCCAUUCCAAAGCACCAAUUUAUUUUAAUUUUUUAACACAAUAGAGACAUGAAGCGGCACCAGAAGGGGACAUAGCCACCAAAAGGUGCCGGACCAUCCAGAGAGACAUAAAUUUUCCACUGAAAACAUCUUGGCUAAAUAUUCUCCUUGAGCCUCUCAACCCCUGCUUCCGAAGCCUCCAACCAAAGCUUAUCAUUGUCACGCUUCACGAAAUCCAUGGCAGCCUGGAUUUCCUUCACUUCCCCCCUUAAGGUCUCCUGAUUGCUUCUGGAUUUUGCCUUUUUUGCCUCGACCAACACAUCUAAUUCCAUUUUAAGCCUCUCGACCCCUGCUUCAAACAUGCUAUUUUUCUGCUCUGCAGUCAAAACCUCCAACUGAAUCUUAUCAUUUUCACCCUUUCUCAAAUCCUUGCUGCUAUGAUUUUCCUCCACCUUCAUCUUAUGGUCUUCCAAUUCUUUCAUGAUUUCUGCCUCGUCAGAAUCAAAUGCAUUUGUAGAUGUCUCUUUUGCCUCCACCAAUUCCAUCCGUGACCAAAGCCUAUCAUUUUCAAUUAGAACCUUACUAUAAUAAGCCUCCAAUUCCUGAUUCUUCGCUAGAGCUGCCUCUAGCUCAGACUCCAAAGAUGCUGCCCUUGCAUCCAUCUCUGCCUUGUGAACCCCAAGGACCCUCAAUUCCUCCACCUUAUCCUUAAUUUGCUUCUCUGCUACUUGUUGGUAUGUAUCUGCAGCAUCCAUGACCACCAAAACUGCCUUUCUCGCAUCCUUCAGGUCCUCCACCAUUGCCUUAAUUUGCUUCUUUGCUACUUCUUGGUACGCAUCAGCAGCGUUCAUUAACAGCAGGCCUGUCUUCCUCGUGUUCGCCAAUUCCUCUUCCUUUGUCCUAAUUUGCCUAUCUGCUACAUGUUGGUACGUAUCGGCAGCAUUCAUGAACAGCAGACCCGCUUUCCUCGUGUCCUCCCGUUGCUUCACUAGCACAGCAGACAGUUUGGUGUUUUGGUGCUCCAACUCCCGCACCCUGUACUCCAGUGUGGAGGACACAUAAGCCGCUCUUCUCUUCUCAUUGGACAGCUCAGUGUUUUCAUUCACCAACCUCCGCACCCUGCUCUCUAGGUAACUCUUCUCAUUGGACAGCUCAGUGUUUUCAUUCACCAACCACCGCACCCUGCUCUCCAGGUUACUCUUCUCUUGGGACAGUCUAUUGUUUUUGCGCUCCAACUCAUACGGACCAUCCUCCCAAGAAUAUCUAUCCGCAUCAGAGAAGAGAGAUGGGAUUAUGCUGCGUACGUGCACAGGAAUUGACUCGAUUUGAAAUAAAUAAAAUGAUGUCUUGGCCCACUCGAAUACCUCCAGUACCAUGGCAUGUUGUAGAGAGUUGGAGCAGAGGUCGAUGACAAAUUGCAGCCGCUGUUGUCACGCACUCGUCGGAGGUCGAAGACGUCUGCCCAUGCCGAUGGAAUGAAGUUUCCUUGGGGUGUGUGUAUAUAUAUAUAGGGAAGAGGCAAAAGUGGGACGGGUGGAAGGCAUUGAGUGCCUGUGAAGAAGAGGAUGGAGUGUCAACGAGGAAGAGAAAAAGAAGCAGAGGAGGGAAGGCAUGGAGUACUGGUGAAGAGGAAGGAUGGACUGCUGGUGAAGCGAAGACUGAAUUCUCGGAGGACGUAAGUCUUUCUGUUAGGGAAAUUUCUGCACGACACCGCCAGUUACCUGCCUCUUGCGCUGCAUCUAUGAAUGGAUGAAAAUAUAGUUUGGCAUGGUUACCUGCUGUUUUCUUUUUAUUUGUUCUUUAUUAUGGCCUUGGACAUACUUCUUUAUAGCCUCGGACUAUUAUCCAUGAACGUUUUGUUCGGCAAAUUAAUGUUAAUGACAGCAGUCCGAAAUUUUCUUCAUAGCUGACAUCGUUAUACAAGUCUGUUGAUGCGAAAACACGAGGCCUGCGAGAUCUGCUUAGCUCCAGUGUAGGUCCAAAGGUUGGUGAGGUGCAGACGUGCCAGUCAGUUUAAUCCUACAACUGACAAGAUAUGUAACCAGUAGAUCAAAUAGCCGACCGGCUAAACAGCCGAUGGAGCAAUCCCAGCCGAUGCCGAUACCAGCCGAUAGCGAUAGGGUUUUGAGCUAUCGGCUAUAUGUCCAAUGUAGAUCCUGAUACUUGAUGUAAAUAAUGAUAUAAAGGCAAUCGGCUGAUGAUGAUAAAUAAUAAUAAUAUAGCAAUAUAAUCCAGUAGAAACCAAUCGGCUAGCAAUAUGAUAUGAUAGAACAAGCACUGAUCCGAAGGUUAAAGCAUCCAUCGGCUGAAGGACCGAUGCCAUAAAAUACACAGAUUAGAUUAAACAGUGAAACCUUUGCUGUCAUCGGCUAAAUCCAACUUGUAUAUAUAUGUAAUCCUUAUAAGCCGAUACAACGUCCAGAUAACUUAUCGGCUAGCACCCCGAUAAAACAUUAGCAUGAACCUAUCGGCUUAAUAAGACUUAUAUUAUCAACAACAAUCUAGUAGGUCGAACCUAACCGAUGCAGCACGAGAUUGUAUAUGAUAAUCUAAUACUCGAUGAGCCGAUAGAUCUGUCUAAUGUGAUGGAUAUAACGAAUCUAUUUAUAACAGCAUUGUGAUUGUAGAGAUAUAUCGGCUAAGACAGAAGAUCGGACCUAACCGAGACAGUCCCAACUAAACCGAUGCAUCUCUAAACACAAUGCAACUAGCGAUAGAAUUGAGAUAUCAGGUAGGCAAAUAUAUCAACCAAACCAGAGCGAUCAAAGAGAUCAAAGCGAUGCAGCCUUGAACAACACCAACGUAGCCGAUAGAUUCACCAGGGCCCGACGGAACGUAGGACUUACCCCUUCGCUGGAAAUCGAACUAAACCGAUGCAGCCCCGCGUCAGGUGCCCAAAUUCCGCCGGAAGAUAAGUAAAAACCUCAGGGAAGAGGGUGGCGAUGCGCCGAGAGUAGUUGUAUUGAUCGAGAUUGAUAGAUUACAUUGACCCCGGGUGUACAUAUUUAUACCCAUGGGUUGAUAUAAGUCCUUGUCGGACAAGAAAGAAACUAUCCUAAAGAUAAAAGGAAAACAUAAAGUCCUUAUCGGACACUAAACACACUUUCCUAAAGAUAAAAGGAAACUAACAAACUAUUCCUAACUAAUAGAUAACUUGUCAUGCCGCAUCCUCCUUAAACUCGGUCUCUUCUGGAUAAGCUUCCUUUAGUAGAUCGAUUUCCUUAAUCGAAUAUAGCAAGAAUUCGACAACUGACGACUUGAUAACUCUCAUCGGCUGAUUCUAGAACUUUGAAGCCGAUACUGAUUUUCAGCGCCGAUGAUGACUUUAGGGCUUACCAAAUUUCACUGUUAACACAUGUCCCCCAGUUUUGGAGUAUGAGAACUCAUGCUUCAAAAUUUAUUGUCUUGAUAACUCCAAGACCGAUCUUCCUUUGCUUCUUGUAAUUAGCUUUCAUGAGCUGAUGCUGUUUGCAUUAAAUGAGCUAGACAGUCAAACUCGUGGCAAAAGAAUCUCUCUCUGAUAGGGGAUGACAAUCCUUGGAAUGCAAGAUCUGCGAGCUGCUCAUCGCUUAAACUCAAACUAUAACAUCGGCCGCGGACAUUACGAAAUCUCUUAAUAUAUUCUAUAGCCGAUUCUCCUUCUUGCUGCUCAACCGAUAUUAAAUCUGAAAGCUUCAACUCUUUGAUUCCAGCAAAGAAGUAGUCAUGAAAUUGCUUCUCAAGAUCGGUCCAUCCUUGGAUAGAAUCUGAUGGUAGCGAUGAAAACCAUGUGAAGGCCGAUGCAGUCAAAGAUAAUGGAAAAAAUCUAACUUUCAGAGCCUCUUCAGCCGAUGCCUCCCCACAUUGUGCUAAGAGUCGGCUGAUGUGUUCCAUUGUAGGUGUAUCAUCCUGCCCUGAAAACUUGGAGAAAUCUGGAACUUUGUAUCGGUGUGGCAAUGGCACCCUAUCAAAUCAGUCAGGAUAUGGCAGCCGAUACAUAUGGAUAUGUUCCUUAGGUUUGAUUCCAAACUGCACCUCUAUUAUCUUUGCAAUUCUAUCGGCCAAAUCAUUGUUAUAUUGAUAUUCUUCAUCAUGCCCAUAUUGACGAAGUUCUUCUAGCCGAUACUAAUAUGCUUGCCCCCCGAGCCGAUUCUUUUGUGCAACUAUUUCAGGAACUAUCUUCUUGAUCACAUUUUGUAGUGUACUCAUCAAAACUCCAGACUGAUCAAGCAAUCCGCGAUGAACCGCUUCAUCAACUGUAUCUUGAAGUAUUUCAACUAUCGGCUUGGGGAAUCGAGUCUUCUGAAUUGGCCCUUCGGGUAUCAUGAUGAAACAUUGAAGACAACGCAUUUGCAAAUUAGCUACAAAGUGCACCAUCUGUUGCUGUUCCUCCGUUAAAUUUUCCACCGUGACCAUGAUCUUGGCAUUGACUUCUUCUUCAGACAUGUUGGGUAUAAAACUCAGGUCUCACCGGGCGUGCCAAAAGCGUGUUGAUGCGAAAAUACGAGGCCUGGGAGAUCUGCUUAGCUCCAAUGGAGGUCCAAAGGUGGUGAGGUGCGGGUGUGCCAGUCAGUUUGAUCCUUCAACUGACAAGAUAUGUAAACAGUAGAUCAAAUAGCCGAGCGGCUAAACAGCCGAUGGAGCAAUCCCAGCCGAUGCUGAUACCAGCCGAUAGCGAUAGGGUUUUGAGCUAUCGGCUAUAUAUCCAAUGUAGAUCCUAAUACUUGAUGUAAAUAAUGAUAUAAAGGCAAUCGGCUGAUGAUGAUAAAUAAUAAUAAUAUAGCAAUAUAAUCCAGUAGAAACCAAUCGGCAAGCAAUAUGAUAUGAUAGAACAAGCACAGAUCCGAAGGUUAAAGCAUACAUCGGCUGAAGGUCCGAUGCCAUAAAAUCAACAGAUUAGAUUAAACAGUGAAACCUUUGCUGUCAUCGGGUAAAUCCAACUUGUAUAUAUAUGUAAUCAUUAUAAGCCAAUGCAACGUCCAGAUAAGUUAUUGGCUAGCACUCCGAUAAAACAUUAGCAUGAACCUAUCGGCUUAAUAAGACUUAUAUUAUCAACAACAAUCUAGUAGGUCGAACCUAACCGAUGCAGCACGUGAGUGUAUAUGAUAAUCUAAAACUCGAUGAGCCGAUAGAUCUGUCUAAUGUGAUGGAUAUAACAAAUCUAUUUAUAACAGCAUUGUGAUUGUAUAGAUAUAUCGGCUAAGACAGAAGAUCGGACCUAACCGAGACAGUCCCAACUAAACCGAUGCAUCUCUAAACAUAAUGCAACUAGAGAUAGAAUUGAGAUAUCAGGUAGGCAAAUAUAUCAACCAAACCAGAGCGAUCCAAGAGAUCGAAGCGAUGCAGCCUUGAACAACACCAACGUAGCCGAUAGAUUCACCAGGGCCCGACGGAACGUUGGACUUACCCCUUCACCGGAGAUCGAACUAAACCGAUGCAGCCCCGCGUCAGGUGCCCAAAUUCCGCCGGAAGAUAAGUAAAAACCUUAGGGAAGAGGGUGGCGAUGCGCCGAGAGUAGUUGUAUUGAUCGAGAUUGAUAGAUUACAUUGACCCCGGAUGUACAUAUUUAUACCCAUGGGUUGAUACAAGUCCUUGUCGGACAAGAAAGAAACUAUCCUAAAGAUAAAAGGAAAACAUAAAGUCCUUAUCGGACACUAAACACACUUUCCUAAAGAUAAAAGGAAACAAACAAACUAUUCCUAACUAAUAGAUAACUUGUUAUGCUGCAUCCUCCUUGAACUCGGUCUCUUCUGGAUAAGCUUCCUUUAGUAGAUCAAUUUCCUUAAUCGAAUAUAGCAAGAAUCCGAUAACUGACGACUUGAUAACUCUCAUCGGCUGAUUCUAGAACUUUGAAGCCAAUAUUGAUUUUCAGCAGAUGAUGACUUUAGGGCUUACCAAACUUCACUGUUAACAAAGUCUUAUACAGUACAUUAAUAAUACAAGGGUUGUCCAAGUGCGACCCAAUUAGACCAAGCAUGGUCGAUUACAUUACAAAAUAUCAAAAGAAGUAGAUGGGGUAGCAGAGGUGGAGCAGCAAUGGCCCAACUUAUUCCACAGGUAGUGACUGGUAAACCUAGAUCCCUACUCCACCGUCUUCGACACCCUCUCGUCAGCAUGCCACACUUGUGGGUCGGGUCCAACACCUUCUUCUAAAAGAGUUAAUUAAGCAAGUGUAAGUAUCUACCGUACUCAGCAAGCCACUACUACAGGAUGUAUUUGGUGCACACGGGGGACUUGGUUUAUUUGCAUAAAGCUAGACUUUAGAAAUUAUUUCACAAACCUAUGACUUAGCAAUUUUAACUGAAAAACAACGUUAAGUUGAAGUUGUCGUUAAUCAGCGAGGGUUCAUCCACCUUUCCCAAGCCUUGCUUGGUCCUGUUUGCCUUCGCAACCAGCUUUCCACAACUUUCACCAUUUCGACCUUCCUUUCCACCUAAUCUAAGCACUAUUAAAACUUAUUAGGCUAGUCAAGAGUAGUACAAGUCCUAGCGCUCAUUAACAACGAGCAUGGCUAUUCAAAUAGAUUUAUUUACUCACACUGCAGUGGAUGUACGCUUUUAAUCCCGCACUCCAUGACGUACCCAACACAUGAGACUAGCCCCAACACAUAAGACCUGUCACAGCCCGGAUUUUGGGUUACCCUCGCAUUGCGCACCCGCUCCAAGGACUACGAAUUCCCAUUGCACCCUGGUACCCAACCCUAUCUCGAGCCGGCAGUGAGAGAAGCCCUGGCGCUCCCGAGGUACAAACACAUCCAUAUAACAUGCAUAGAGUGUAUACCCACCUAUACAAGCAAUGCUUAGCAGUGUCAAUAAUUGACCACGCAUAAAAAAUAGACUCAGGCAACAAGGAAUAUGGAUAACAAUUUCAAAGGUGGCUAGCAAUCAAGUUUAGGUACAUAUUUUAUAAUUAGCAUGCAAUUUUAUUUGCAAUCAAUACAUUUAUAAAAGUAGGAUCAACAUGCUUAAGGAGGGCAGCGUAGUGACUUGCCUUGCUUUAGAUCCUUAAAUUUCCGAGAAAUUCGCGUCCGUUGAAUUUUUGGAAUAUCCAACUACAUGAUCGACAAGAGAGAAACACACAAAAUCCUAGAAAGAAAGCACUAUCCAUUUCAAACUAGUAGUGCCAUCUGAUAGAUCUUGAUUUUAGAAAAAAUAUGGAAGUUGAAUGGACUCAAUCGGAGUUAAGGUUUGCAAGAUAUUAAUUUCUGAAGUUUAAAUGAAUUUAUAACAAAGGAAAAAGGAUUUCUUUUAUGGUAAAAGAACAUUCCGGAGGAAUAUUCCUUGCGGGACCCCUCUGUCAGCCGCAUCAGGGGGUUGGCGCUUGGUACACUAGAUCUACCGAGCUGGUGGUGAGGUGGGACCGUUGGACACAGCUCACGGUCCACAGAUCGAUGCGUAGGUCCCGGCAGUCAGUGAGACAGCUCACGUGAACCGGGUGCAUGCGAGCUAAGGGGGCUGUGGUUGAAGGGGAAGGUCCACGGGCUCAGCCCUUGUGGUGGACCGGACGGUGGGGCCCAUGUUAGCGACUGAUAAAUGUCAAUUUUAUGCCAUCAAUACCUACAUAGUACAUAGGUUACAAAACAUCCAACAUAAUAGUAGGGUUCAAUUCUAACAUAUUUCAUAAGUGUUGGUGUAUAAUUGGAUGCAAAUUAUAAACCGUCGAAGUUGGGAGGAAAUCUAGACUAAACUGGAGAAGAAUUUUAUGCAUACAAGAAUUGGGCUCAUAACCUCAUCGAAACACCAGAAAUUGGGCCCAACAAUCAUGGAAGUGGAUAAGGGAGAGUGAAGAGGAGGCCCAGACCAAAUCUGGGGGCCAGAUGGACGCCGUUCAUCCUGGCCUUCCACGUGGACGCUCCUGAUCACUUCCCAAUGACGGUUGGAGGGCGUUUUCGAUAUUUCUACCAAAACCGUUAUUCUCAGCCUAUAAAUAGAGCUCCUCUUAUUCACUUCACAGGCACUUUAAGCUUGAGCUGAAUUAUAAGAGCAUCUAUUUUACUUUAUUGUAUACUAGAUUAGGAAAAAAGUAAGGUAGAAGAAAUCGGAGGAAUUCGGCAGUUGUCGGUAAUUCUCCUAUUACUUUUCGUACCUUUUUAAUUACUCUAGUUUAAUAGAAAUAUCUUUCUGAGUAAUUAAGAUUUACUUCGUGAUAUUUAAUCUUGGUUAGUUCCUACUAGCAUACUGGAUCAUUAUUCACUAUUAUAUAGUGGUUACUUUAGUGAGUUAUAAACACUAGAGUAAUAAUUAAUUGCAUAAACGUGGUGUUUAUGUAGUUAAUUUCUAGUAAUUGCUACGUAUCCCACAGAUCAUUAGAGGUUGGCGUAGAGGUAGUGACAGCCCUCGAGAUCAUCGCAGUCUUCCCUCUCUGGGUACGGAAUAGAGCGCGUUCUGGUAGCAGCGAGCAAGCCAGUGCCUGAAGUAUCACUAUAAGAUUAAAUUAAGCUUUCUAUAGACACUAUUUCUCACUAAGAAAUCCUCUCUAUCCUUUGCCUACAAUUGCUUCGUGUCCUUGGAUUAACUUAGAGAAGAGCUGAACACACACGUUCCUCAUGAAAAUCGAUACCUUGGAAUACUCCCGGGUAAAGUGCUACAUGGGUAUUUCCGUGCGCUUUCAGAUUUUAUCUAUGACGUUAAGAAAUACCAACAUCCCACCAACUUGGCGCAUGUGUACCGGGUGCAUGAAUGCUUAAGGAAAGGUGGGUCCCACAUGUAAGGAGGUAUAAACAGAAAUUAGCCAUGGUUGGGCCCACCUGUCAGUGAGAGAUUAGAGUCAGAUUAAGGAGGUGAUUACUGUGUGUGUUUGAUCUUCUCGAUUCUUCCUCCUGUCCCCACUCUAUCUGAUCCCCCACUCCCACACGUGCGCUCAAGCGAGAGAGACUGGGCGGGCGAUGCCGAUGGUGGUGAGGAGCGAAGGAGGAGCAGCGGCACGAGGAGGAGGCUGCCAUAGGGCCGUCAGUUGGCGGCUGAGAGGAGGCGCUCGGGCGAGUGUCGCUUGACACGGUGCGAUGAUGGUCCAGAUCAACAUGAUGGUGACGAUGGCGGGCUUCGAUGGCUCCCAGGCUUAGCGAAGGAGGCGGCGGUGAUGGAAUCCCAUGGACGGAAUCCUGGGUCCAAGGAGACCGGCGGCGGGCGAUCGUGAAGGUAGCGCUCGCGCGGGUCAGCCUAACCAUGUGCGGCGGCUGCCGUGGGACAGGGAAAAGGUGUUUUGGCGACGGAGGAGAGCGGCGGGAUGGAGGUGCUGAUGGUGGGCUGCCUCGAGAUGGUGAAGUGGAUGCGGUGGCGGCCGAUGUUGAGGGCGCAUUGGUCUGGGUCGCACAGCGUCAAGUGCACCCAAGAUUCUCAUCCGUGUGUCUUGGCCAGUGCAGGUGCGAAGAUGGAGGCGAUUGGAGGAAUAGAGAUGAAGAAUGAAGGGCAUGGCGGCUCUAUAGCCGGCGCCAAUAAUCGGUGACACGGGUGGCUUCAAGGGGAAGAAUGGAGGCGGGGUAGUACAGGGGCAAGGACGGUGGUGCUGCGGUGGGCGUGGGCUCGGCGCACACUUUCGGCGUGGGCAUUUCACCGCAGCAAUGGAGCGCGGGAGGGCGAGACGAUGGACAUGGUGCAUUGGCAUAGGCUUGGCGCGGACGUCAGGGUAGAUAAAGGCGAGGCGCGGCACUGUGCUGCAGUAAGGCAGGCACGGAAGACGUCGGGGGCGUGGCCCGCAUGUGUGGAGGACACCUGGAUUUUACAUUAUAGUUGCCAAUUGAAAUGAACAUAUAAAGUCAAGUAGCAAGUAUAGGGAACUUUAGCUUGCCAGUCAACUUCAGCCUGAUAUGUGACCGUCAAACCACACGAAGGCGGUGACCAGAUAUAUUACACAUUCAGGAGACUUACAAAAAUAGCUAAAGCUCUAGCGCAUCCCAAAUAUUCUAAAUUCAUACUCAUGUGAAACUAGUUCCCAGGAUGUGCAAUAGCUUCACACUUUCAUCUUAAGCAAUGAACAAAAGGAAAUACAACUAAGACAAAUAAAAUUCAGAUUACAUCUACUUUAGCCAUACAUAGGCUGACUGGCAAAUAAUCAGAGAUUCGCGGAAGCUUGGCUACCCAAACCACAAGCAAACCGACUAGGGGAUUGUCCCCUUUUGAACCAAGUCCUAGAAAAAGAAGUCAAAAACCUGCAUCACUCAAAUUUAAGGAAAACAAUUGCAAAGAGUAAAGUAUAUAUAUAUAUAUAUAUAUAUAUAUAUAUAUAUAUAUAUAUAUAUAUAUAUAUAUAUAUAUAAAACAUGGCAUGUGUCACAUCCUGAAUUUUCGUUUCAGGAUUUAUAAAUUAUUUAAUUUUUAUUAAAUUCUCCAUGUUUAAGUCAACUCUCUGAAAUUUUCUCGGAUUUCUCAGAGCUCAAUUCCUAACUGAUACAAAGAACAGUUCAGUAAUUAUUUGAUCAUUAAUGAUCUAAUUAUAUUUGUUAAGAGCUUUUCUUGUUUAAAAAUCCUUAAAUUAUAAAUUGUUGUUUAAAAGGAAUUAUUAGAAAUGAUUUUAAAAGCUUAGAAGAAAAGAUCUAAUUUUAAUUUGUUAAAUCUCAAUAUAAAAUGGGGCCAGAUAAAAUUUCAUUAAAUACUUUGCUUAAUUCUAUAAUUCCUAGAUUAUUCUGGGAUUUAUUUGAGCUAAGGAAGUAUUUUUAAUAAAUGGAAUUGCAUUUCAUGAAUAAUUUAAAUUGAAAAAGGUUUUAAAAAGUCUUCUUUUGGCUUUGGGCCGAAAGCCGGCCCAAAACCCUCUCUCUCUCUUUCCCUCGGCCCAGUCCGGCCCAGUCCGCCGAGCCGCCACUCUUCUCUCUCUCGGUGUCGCUGACAGGUGGGUCCCACCUGUCAGGUUCGUCUUCCCCGAGCCGCCGUCGCCCGGCCGAACCCUAGCCGAGCGCCGCCGCCGUCUCCUUCCAAAAUUCCGUCGCUCCUUUCCAUCUCCGGCCGAAUUGAUUGAGGGCAAAUGAUCCUUGAGAUCUCCUCUUCCUUUUCUCUUUUGGAAACAUCGGCUAAUUUUCUUUGGAAGCCGGUGGAUUUGAGUUCGAAUCGGAUUCCUCUCUCCCUCCCGAACCCUAAUCUUUCCUUCUCGCCGCCGGUCGCCGUGGGCCUCCGUCGCCACUCGCUAGCCCCUUUAAAAGGACCGCCGAGCUCUCCUCUACCCGCCAUCUCUCUCGCCUUCGCCCGCCGUCGUGUGUAGCGCCCUAGCCUCGUGAGCUUUUGCGCCGCCGUCGCUGCCGUUCGUCCAGCCGUGCGCCGCCGUCGCUACGGUCGUCGUCGUCACUCGGGAAGGCCACCGUCGGGAUCGCCAAGUCGCCGCCGUCCCCGUCCACCGUUUCGCCGCCGCCGAAGACCGCCGGAGCACCGUCGCCGUCGUCGACCCGAUCUCCGCCGCCGCUUCUUCCUCGUCGCCGGCGCCGUCCGUUGCUUUUCCGCCGCCGUUUUGGUCACCAGUGAGUUCGCCGCGCUGCGCUCUACGUCUUGGUGCCCUCCGUUUGUGCCGUAGAGCCGCCGUUCGCCGGCGAGCGUGCGCCGUCCGAGCCGCCGAGCCGCCGCCGGAGGUGACGUCAUCGCUGACGUCAUCGUCGCCCUCUCCCGUGAGCCGGUCGUGGACCGAUCGAUCUCGGCCGUCCGUUUUGGAUGGAUCGAUCUCGGCCGUCCGUUCCCGUGAACCGCCGCCGUGCGCCCGGUCCACCGAAACCCUAGCCGCUGACGCAAUAAUCCUUCUUUUCCUUUUCAAAAAUAAUUCAUUAUUGCGUCAUAAUUCAAUUAAAAUCCAUAUAAGUGUUUUAAUCCGAUUUAAUCUUUAAAAAUUCAUAACUAAUUCAUUUGAACUCAGUUUAAUGUGGUUCAAGUUGCAAAAAUUAUAUAAAAUAAAGAUCUACAUAUUAAAAUUGUCCAUAAAUUGAAUUAAAUUUAUUUAAUUCUUUUUAAAUGGGCUUUAAUUAGAUUUAAUCUUGUAAAAUUCAUAAUAAAUUCAUAUGAAGUCAGAAUGAGGCCGUUCAAGUCUCAUAAUUCAUCUAAAAUUAUGAUCUACAUGUUUGUUUACUUUUUAUGUACUAUUUAUUUGGUUUUUAUUAGUCUUUUUCUUCGUUUUGCGUGUUAGCUUGUCGUUUCCGUCGUUGCGAAGGUUCGCGAGUGCGCCGGAAGUAUUCAAGAAGAUUAAUUGAAGACCGAUUAUUGCAAGGCAAGUCACACAGAUCCUAAACACAAUCCUUUGAGCAUGUUGAUCCUAUAUUUAAAUUCUCUAUUUAUUUCAACUGUGCAUUUAUUUUCGAAUGUCACUGGGUGGUGUGAAUCUAUUCCUUUGUUAUGGGCUGUUUGCAUUAAUUACUUUAAUCCUUGAUACCUUGGGUUAUUAUAAUUUGACUAGUUGAGCUUUAUAUAUUGGUUCAGCUAGAUAUUAGAUGUGAUUGCUUAGCCAUGCUUAGAAACAUUAGCACACUAUUGGGAUAACUUAUGAUUCAUUAUUAUUUAAUGAUGGUUUAAUGAUAGUUCACGAUGGUUAAUCUUGAUUGGUUAAUUAAUUACUUGCCAACUAAAACUUGAUAAUGGUGGGUUGUGAGCACAUGGUUUUGAGAGUCGUGCUCAUGACAAUUAAGGACCGGUUCGCGAGCUACUAUUGUGAAACAUUAACCGUGCCAACCACAAGCCAGCGUGGGCAACGGCUUUACCUUUUGUAUAGCAUGAUUCAUUGCGGAGCACCAGACUGAGAAGUGGCGGAGAUAAGCCCACGGGGGUCGCUGGGGAGUCCAUGCCUCUGGUUUUUGAGGGGGUGAUUAUGAUCCAGGAAUGGUGCACUGUGGUGAGUUGUGUUAUGCAGAGGGUAUUGUCACAGCCUCUAUUCGGGUACUUUCCAGUAUCGCGACGCAUGGUAGACAUGAUGUUGAGGCUGUGUCUUGCGGGUAUAGUGGUACACCUCUGGCCAGAGUAAAACUAUUCGAAUAGCCGUGCCCGCGGUUAUGGGCGAGUUGAGCAAUGUUUUUCGUGAUUAGUCCCAUACCUCUCACCAUAACUAUGGAUGUUAUACCGGGUAAUAAUUUGCUUAGCUCCUGGUUUGGAGUUAGAUCUGUUCAGCCGGGUAUGGUUGUUCAGAAUGGUUGGGCCUGUGCAGCAUGGGUGUGCUGUUCAGUGUUGAUUAAAAUUUCCGAUUAAUUACUCCACUGUUUUACUUCUCUUAAAUGUUUUGCUAAAUGCUGCUUUUGCAAAAGAGCCUAUAUUAUGCCAUCCUUUGGUAUCCUUGUGCACUUGCAUAUUUGUCGUGUGGCUUGCUGAGUAUGUCAUAUGCUCACCUUGCAAUAAUCAAUCAACCUCAGUUGAAGAAAAAGGAUCCAGAAGGAGAAGACGUUUGGCUUAUACCCCAGUUGAGCUGCCUGUGGGAGUGGAGCCGGAGCUUCGCUAGAUUUUAUUUUCCGCUGCAGUUUUCUUCAUGAUGAGGACUAAGUGCCUCAUAAGUAAGUAUUUAUCGUUUUAGUUAAUUUGAUGAAUCUGUAUAUUAAAUUGUCAGUUUGUGUACCUCGGCUGAUUCCUGGACGAGGAUUUUAUGCACAAAUAAGUUCGGAAAUUACUAGUGAAUUUCCGGGUGUGACAAGUUGGUAUCAGAGCCAUCUCGACUAUAGGAUAAGCCAAAUGGUCAAACCUUAAGGAUUAAUUUUCCGAAAACAUGAUUUGUGAAAAUUUCUCCUUUCUUCCUUAUCUAGAAUUCUUUGCAAAUUGUUUCAUUGUCUACUCCCCUCUCUCUUUCAACUUGAGUAGUUCUGAAACUAGUUGUUGAAACUUGAAGACGCCAAUGAGGUUUACUUAUGGAGGUUAAGUAAAGUGGAUCGAGGAAGAACUGAAGUGCCUAGAUGUUAAG
This 70404-nucleotide long non-coding RNA is filed under the name Oryza sativa (Asian cultivated rice). RNAcentral describes it as "long non-coding RNA (OSAT_LNC000696)". The stretch from base 32329 to 32435 matches the Rfam family "Plant small nucleolar RNA R71". The record is from RNAcentral. Lineage: Eukaryota; Viridiplantae; Streptophyta; Magnoliopsida; Poales; Poaceae.